RNAcentral lists this long non-coding RNA (63266 nucleotides) under Coffea arabica (coffee). RNAcentral describes it as "long non-coding RNA (CARA_LNC000983)". Lineage: Eukaryota; Viridiplantae; Streptophyta; Magnoliopsida; Gentianales; Rubiaceae. The record is from RNAcentral.
AAAGUCCCCAUCAUUCCUCCCAUUCUUGGAGGACAAAAUCGUCAAUUCAUCCGACUCUGGCGACGAAUUCAAUUUAUAGGUCUCCGAAUCCCCGAUCUUCACCUUCUUGGUCCGGAAAGCCCCAUCAUCAAACCCUUCAUAUUCGGCAUUUCCCUACUACCACCACCCCUCGCCGGCAGAAUCCUCAACUCAUCAUCAUCCUGAAAAUCAUUCCCCUGCGCCGACGACGUAAUAUUAUUCAAACCAUACGGGUCCAACGAAUCACUGAACCCAUACGGGUCGGAAGACCAGCGGGUCGAACCUUGGGAAGAAAACGUGAAAUCGAAAACAUCUGGAGGGCUUUCUUGGGAAAACGACUUAUCGGAGACGCCACCGUUAAAGUUCCUCGUCGCCAUGCUUCUGCUCCGACGGCCGUAGGUCCUAACAAUCAUUUCUUGACCAAGAUCGAUACUUUGUCAUCAUAGGAGAAAUUUUGAAAAUUUUGAAAUUAGGGUUUUUGAGACGAGCUGAAAAAAAAAUCAAGGGUUCUUGAUUUUCUUGAAGAUCAGGAACUGAAAUUCUAGCGAGACAAAAGUGAAAGGAGGGUUUAAUGUAAUGGCAUGUAACAGUAAAAACCGAUUGGAGAAUAUUAAAUAUAUAGACGUUAAUUUUUUUCGGGUAAAAUGAGGAAUGCGAUUUUGAGGAUGAGUUGGUGGUGAGAUCUGAGCCGUUGGAUUUUCAAGGAAAGACGUUGAGAUUUUCGUUUUUUGUUUUUUAAAAAUUGAGGGUAGUUUGGGUAGUCGGAAAUGGAAGUUGGCAGCGUGGCAACGGCGUGACCGUUGUUCAAGAUAGAUCAGAGCUCGGCUACUGUGCUUUCCGUUCUUACUUUCUUUGCUGUUUGCUUUUGAGCAAAUUAAUUCCCUUUUAUUUACGAGCAUUCUAAGUUUAUUUAAAAACUAGAGUAAUACACAAUUUAAACAUUAUCAAUAAAUUUUAGCCCUAGAGUUGAUUUUAUGGUGCGAAUAAGCACCAACUAUGUGAAUUAUCAGGAAAAUUUCUAUAUACGAUGCACCUUUUUUAAAUGAUUUAUAUGGAUUCAGUAUUUGAGAAAAUAUUUUUCAAAUACAACACUCUCGUAAUUUCAAUAUAUUAUUUAUUCACUCUCGUAUAGAUGUUUUUCUUUAAUAAAUCAGUUAGUUGUAGCUAUUGUUAGGGAAAUAAAAUAAAAUAAAGGUUUUACGUAAAAGUAGAUUGAGUAUUUGUUAAAAUGAUUCCACUAAUUCUGCCUAUUUUAUGGAAAAUGAGUUACCAUUUUAAAAAUUUUAUGGAAAAGAUUUAAACCAAUUAACUCUCAUUCUGAAGUUCAAUUUUGAAUAUUAGACCAAGAUUUCAAUGGCAUACUUCUUCUUCAUAGUUUAACCUGCCAAGAUAGAGAGAGGAGAGAUGGUAAUAAUAUGUAGCCAUGUUGACAAAGGGGGUGAAAAUUACCUAAAAUCGGGUUCACAAUUCUAGAGGUAGUGUGAAGAUGAAGUGACACAUAAGAUUUUGGAUAAGAAUGGAAGGUGUUUUAGGUGUAAAGAACUGUUCUGGUAGCUGCAGCACUGUGUAUUUGCUCGCAUGCAUUUUUCGUACUUCGCACAGCAAAUUAGCUUAAGGGGAAUGAGAGGGGCCGGCUGGGUUGGUGAGGAUUUGGUGCUGUGGAUACUGUGGACCGUUUUCACUUUUUGGCAUGUGACUUGAUCAGAAAAUUACCAAUCACGACUGAUUUUUGUUGUAAACCUUUCACCUUUUCGGUGAGAUUCUGUUUGAAUUAGCUAUUUUUUAGAAUAUUUUUAAAAUAUUUUACUAUAAUAAUAUGUAUAUAAAAAAAUUUUAUUGUAAUAUAUUUUUUGAGAGAUUUUUUAAAUAUAUUUUGAGAUAACUUUUAAAAUUACAAUAUUUUUAUGGUACUUUUUAAAAAGUAAUACUACCACGUACAAUCACCACUAUCACCUACCACCCCUUUAGCUUCCUCCUCCCUCUCCUUCCCUCUUCCCUUCCCCUUCCCCUUCUCUCUUCCUUUCCCCCCACCUCUCGGCCCCCUCCUUCCCCCUCGAUCUAGUCUCAACAAGAUCGAGGCCUCUAGUCAUAACCAGAAUGUCACAAUUUUCUAGUCCCAAUCUGGAGACUAGAGGCUUCGACCUAGGAGUGAGGGGAAGGGAUGAGGAAGAGAAGGAGGAUGAUGAUGAUGGGUUGAUGGCGGUGGUGAGUGGUGGUGAUAGGUGAAAGAUAUUGUAAAUUUUAUUUUUUAAUUUUUUGUAUAUAUUUGUGAGUUAUUUUUUAUAUAUUGUAUGAAUUAUAUUUUUUUGUAUAGUUUUUUAUUUGCGUAUUGGUGUAGCAUUAUAUUUGAAAAUUUAAUUUUUUGAAAAACAUGUCAAUCCAAAUGGAGAACUCUUCAUUCUUUUGUGUUUUUCAUUCUGUUUGUGCAAAGUGAUUGUAGCUUGUUCUUGAGCAAUUUGUGAUAUACAUUUAAAUGUAUUAGAUUUAAUAUUUAAUAAUUUAAAAUUUUAAUAAAUUCAAAUUUUUUAGAUUUCAAUUUAAUCAAACGCAAAUUUGAGCAACUUGUGGUGCAUUUAAUAAAAUUGAAAUAUAAAAUCUCAAUCCAUUACGUUAUUAAAUAGUUAAGUACUAAACUUGAUACAUUUUGGUAUAUAUCAUAUUAAGUGAUAAGUGAAUAGUUUAUCAUUUAUUUUUUGAACCAAGUUUUAUCUAAAAAAUUCAAUGCCACUUAAUUAAUUUAAACAUUCUAUUUUUUGUUACUAAACGCAAUUGAACAUAUUAAGAUCUGAACCUAUUAACUUUAAGUGUUAAAUUGAGUUAUCAAAUAGGAUACCUAAAUAAUAUGUAUUAAGGUAUGAAAAUCUCGAACUUAUGAUAAGUUAAUAUUGGAUUCUAUGAAAAGCUUGAUGCUGACAAUAGAUUGAUCAAAUUUAUGAAAACAAUAUGCACUUAUAUAAUAUGACACUUUUCUAUUUCAAUGUAUGCUAUCAUUUUUUUUUUAGUUCAACGGAGAGACUCUAAGCAUUAAAAGAGAAAAAUCAAAGAGCUUGAAAGUUACAUGAUCCUACCUAGCAAGCAGCCAAGAAUAUAACAAAGAGUAGCAGGGUUUUGCCAAAUGUCCUGUGAUUUCUUUUUCAAUAUGACUUUGGAAGACGACCGAAAAUCACAGGUUUCCCAUGAUCCACAACUAAAGGAUUAAAUUAAUCAAUCAGAUUGAAUCCUCCAUUAAGAAAAAUGAGUGAAGAAGAAGGGAAACAACCUAUACUCCUCUCCUUUAGUACUCACUAAGGCUUGGUUAGGGAAUUGAGGGUUUGACCAGAAAAAAGGGAAAGAAACGAAAGUUUAGGUUGUGUUUGGAUUGCAUUUUCUAGGAUUUUUUGUAGAAAAAUUAGUGUAGCGAUUUGAUGUAUAUGAGAAAAAAAACGUAAUAUGGAAAUGUGAUAACGGAAAACAACGCAAUUUUCUGGUGAAAAAUAGCGGUCCAAACAAGGCUUAAUUUUCAUUUGUUUGUUAGUUUGAUAUAAAAAAGAAAGAAAAUGGAAGGAUUUAUUAGGAUGAACAGGAGUCAAAACAUUUCCAUCCAAAUUGGACGAAAAUGAAAAGAAACUUCGAGGAAGCUUGUCAAAAAUUUAAAAAAAUAUCUAUUUUGUCCUUAAAAAGGUUUGAACAAAAAUAUUAAUAACUUUUAUAUUCAAAAUCACUCCACUAAUUAUUAAAACUUUCAAAUAAUAUAACAAUCCCUUCUCUUUUUUACUUUUCUCUCUCGUAACUUAAGUUUUCCCCUUUUUUUUUUCCCCCUAUCCUAAACUCCCAAACUAAGCCAGAGAGUAAAAUAGUAUGAUGGUUGCGUGGUUCUUAAAGCAGAGAGCGCUUAAGUUAUAAUUUUUUUUUUGGAAUUCAAGAAAUAUGAAUUAUGGUGCUUGCCACUGCGAGCAGAAUUGUCAAGAGACAAAAGGCUGAAAAAGACAAAUCAGGUGGAACGGUAAAGAGGUCAUAGUGGAAGAGAGACCUUGGUCAAAUAAUAACUUCUAGACAAAGGGCUAAUAAUAUGGAACUAAAAUUGGAACUUUUGGCCCGUAGGACCAAAGAAAAAGGUAUAGUUGCCCUCUACUGUGCUGGCAAACCGAGUCACUUGCAACUGGUCCUGUCAAACGCUAAAUUCGAUUUCGUGCUUGAGUUACUUGUUUCAGGUUUCAAAUUACUCAGUGCUUGAUGAAUCAAGGCAAAUAGUUCUAUUAUUUAUAUAAUAUAUUUAUUUUAGUUAUGAAAUUACAUUAUGGAUUUAUGUUUUAGCAAAUUUAUUGAAAAGUUUUGUACACUUUAGAAUAUGGCAAAAAAGCAAUAAAAUAAUUAUGAAAAUACUAAAAAGAGAAAACCGUAACAAAAAGAGCUCAAAAUUCAAGAAGAAAAAAAAAAAAAAAAAAAGAAGAAGCUACUCGUCUCUCUCAUGCUCUGUCGCCACUUACCCGUCUCUACUAUCUCUAAUCGUCUCUGAAUCUUUGGCCGCCAUUGCUGUCUCCAUCCUCUUCAUUGUCGCUGGCUCUACUUUCUAAUCUCCCAGUCUUCAUUUUGCUCCCCGUCAUUCGAGUCUCUCACUCUCCUUACGCCAAUGCUGUCUCUGGCUUUUAGCCACUCUUUGGCCCAUGAAAACCACCAAAGCUUUGCUUCUUCUGCCUCUCAAACCUUCAAUGGUUAGCUUCAAUUAAGUCAAUAGCACGAGCAAAGGGUAGGUCACUUCACGAACUCAGAUUGGAGAAGAAACCAACCAUUGGAGGCUUGGAGCUCAUUUAAGGUAAGUAAAUCACCGUAAUUUUUCCAUUAUCGCUUCUGUUUAUUGAAAUAGUUUUUUUUUUUCUUUCUGGAAUGCCUGGACUAAGCAUGAAAGCUUGAGUUUUUAUUCGAGUACUCGAAGUUGACGAGGUUCAAGAAUUGUAUCAAACUUUAUCGAAUCGAGCUCGAACUCAUGUGUUAUCUCUACAAGUCGAGUCCAGCUACAAGUUAUUUUACUCGAUCAAGUCGAAUUUGAACUCAAAUAUAUUAAAAAUUUAUCGAAUUCGAGUUGGAGUAUAGCGUUACUCGAGUAUGACUCGACUCGUCAGCACCUCUAUCUCUAAUUAAAGAACCUCUGCCUCUAAUUAAAGAAUAAGGAAAGAAGAGCAAGUUUGUUAUGAAUUUUAGUCGAUGGGAUUAGCACUACCACAUGUAGAGAUCUGAUAGGCAGGAGUAAUACAAACAAACCAACUGUCAAUUUUGCGAUGCAGAUGGGUAAAUUUAUUGAGAUCCAUGGUAUUAGAGAAAGAAGAGCUCUAUCGCGUAUUCAGCAUUCAUCAAUUUUUGACUUAUAUAAUUUUUUUAAAAAAUUCUUGUCAGGAUGUCCAUUCUUAAACUCACAAGUUAGUAAAAAUCUAAAAUUUUGAAUUGUACAUUUCAUAUUUUGUUCUCUUGAUUUUAUAACUACUCUCAGGACUCACUCAAGUGCUAUUUGAUGGAUAAUAUGUUAAGUUAGUAAAAUACAACCUAUAAUUAAAUUGUCAUAUCUACAGCCUAAAGAUUAUUUUUAGGGAUAAUUUCAAAAAACUCUCGAGAUUUGGCUUAAUAUAAACCUAUCAUCCCUCUAAUUUUAGAAGUCUUUCUUACUUCUUCUAUCACUUUGAUGGGACAAGAUGAACCCAUAGAAAAUGGUGAAUUUACAAUAUUAACCCUGUUCAACAGCUCUAACUAACCGACCAAAAACAAGCCAACCCAAAAAAACUGAGAAGGAAAAACUUGGGCUCCGUUUGGAUUAGCUGUUUUUGGGUUUGUUUUCAAAAACACCACUGUAGCAUUUUGAAUUUGAAAAACAAGUCCGUUUGAAUUAGUUGUUUUUUGGGUUGUUUUUCAAAAACUAUAUAAAAAGCUUUUACUGUAGAUUUUUUUGGAUUAUUUUUAGAGGUAUUUUUGAAACAUAUUUUUGAGUAUUUUUAGAAUAUUAUAAUUUUUAUAUUUUUAUAUAAAUAUACAUUUAUGCAUUUAUAAUACAUUUAUAUUUACAAAUGUAUAAAUGUAUAUUAUUAUAAAUGUAUAAAUUAUAAUGAAUAUUAUAUAAAUGUAUAAAUUAUAAAUUUUAUAUUUUUAUAUAAAUAUACAUUUAUGCAUUUAUAAUACAUUUAUAGAUAUUUAAAAUAAAUAUAUUUAUAUAUUCAUAUAAAAAUAUAUAAAUGUAUUAUAUUAUAUAUAAUACAUAAUAUAAAUAUAUUUAUAAAUGUAUAAGUGUAUAUUAUUAUAAGUGUAUAAAUUAUAAAUGAAUAUUAUAAAUGUAUAAAUUAAUAUAUUAUAAAUAUAUAUUAAUAUUAUGUAGAAAUGUAUUUAUAUAAUUAAUAUAAAUGUAUAUAUGUAUUAAUAUUAUGUAUAAAUGUAAAAUUAAUAUUAUGUAUAUUAAUAUAAAUGUAUAAAUGUAUUAUAUUAUAUAUAAUACAUAAUAUAAAUGUAUAUUUAAAUGUAUAAGUGUAUAUUAUUAAAAAUGUAUAAAUUAUAAAUGAAUAUUAUAUAAAUGUAUAAAUUAAUAUAUUAUAAAUAUAUAUUAAUAUUCUGUAGAAAUGUAUUAAUAUAAUUAAUAUAAAUGUAUACAUGUAUUAAUAUUAUGUAUAAAUGUAAAAUUAAUAUUAUGUAUAUUAAUAUAAGUGUAUAAAUGUAUUAUAUUAUAUAUUAUACAUAAUAUAAAUGUAUAUUAUAAAUAUACAUAAAUAUUUAUAUAUUAUAUAUAAAUGUACAUUUAUAUAAAUGCAUAAUAAUAUUAUAUAUAUAUUAUAUAUAAUUUAUAUAACAUAUAAUAUUUAUGUAAAUAUAUUAUAAAUAUAUAAAAACAUAUUAUAAAUAAAAUAAAAUAUUUAAAUAUGUAUGUAUAAAUAUAUAAUAUUAGAAAUGUAUAAUAUAUAUAAUAUACAUUAAUAUUAAUAUAAUUUAUGUAUAAUAUACAUAAUUGAAAUAUACAUAUUCAUAUAUAUUAAUAUAUAUUAUAAAACAAAAUUGAAUAAAUAUAUUUAUAAAUUUAUAUAUAAAUAAAUGUAUUUAUAUAAAUAUAUAAUAUUUAUUUCAAUUGAUAUAAUAUGUAUAAUAUUAUACAUAAUUGAAAUAAAUAUAUUUAUAUUAAUAUAAAUAUAUAUAUACAUAAUUGAAAUAUAUAUUAAAAUAUAUUAAAAUAUAAUUGAAAUAUACAUAUUAAAAUACAUAAUUAAAAUAUACAAAUUGAAAUAUACUUAUUAAAUAUACAAAUUAAAUAUACAUAAUUGAAAUAUAUUUGGAGUUGUUUUUAUAUAUUGUUUGGAUAUGGUGUUUUUGAAAUACACAUUUACUGUAGCAUUUGAAAUAUGAAAAACAGUUUUUCAAAAACAGGUGCAAAAACACUCAAUCCAAACGGACCCUUGGCAUUUUGGGCAUGACCAGCUGCCCUAUGUUUAACAGUUUAACUACAAUCCGCAUCAUGUAUUUUUGACUAUAAGCAAGUGACUAAUUAAGUAGUUAGAGCAAUGGUUAAGUUAUCUCUAGACACCGACUAAUUAAGCAGGAUGAAAUUAAACGUGGAAAGUAACACAAAUGCUUAUGUCUAAAUGGGAAGGUACCACAUCAAAGCAAUGCCAUUGUGUUCUUUUUUCUUUUUGUCUUUUUUUUUUAAAAAAAAUUGAAAAUAUAGCAUUCUACAUUUCUAUUCAAGAAAGAAGAAUUAAUUAGAUUGAUUGAAGUCAUCUUAAGGUACAGAUGCAAGCCACAAUGGCAAUUUUCUUGUAAAUAAAAAAGGGAAAUGUUUAGGCAAUUUAGUCCCAACAUAAUAGUUAGGCAGUUUAUUUAUGUUACAAUUCUAGACGAGUAAGGAAAUUGUCAACAUUGACAGUUUUUGUUCGGGAGACAAAAAGCUAUCAAUAAAAUAAACUCAAUUAGAAAAAUGUAAUUAACCCUAAUUAGAAGGGAUUGGUUGCGUUUAAUUCGUGAAGCCGAUGGGAAGGGGGGUCGGUAUGGUGUGUCCAAUUCCAAAUCCAACCGCUACUCCAUGCAGUUGCCAACCAUCAAUUGACAAGUGUCCAACAAUCUCCCUAAAGCCUUCUGACUUUUUUCUUUUUUUUUCUUUUGAGCGAGCAUUUUUUACCAUUCCACUUAAGUAUGUUUGGAUAGCAAAUUAUUUGGAUAAUUUAAAAUAAUAGCAUGAUAAUUUUUUGAUGUGAUGUAUAUGACAUAAAAAAGUGAUUGAAAAAUGUGUUGAUAAUGCAAACAAAUAAAAUUUUGUAAAAUAAUCCAACAUCCAAACAAGUGUAAUUACGAUAUCAACCCCCUUCAUCAAGGAAGGGUUGGAUUGGAAAAUGAGGUAAGAGUGAUUGUAAGUAAAAAAGUUUUGAAUUUAAAACCUCUCACUUUAAAAAAAAAAAAAAAAAACUCCAACGAAAAGUGAAAUAAAUGCAUAGAUAGAAAUUGUGGAAAGGUGUUUCUAAUUCCUAACAUCGUCUUGCUACAAGAUAUGUUUUACAAUCAAGGUGAAGUUCUCUCUCUCUCUCCUCCAAGGGUUUAUAUGCCCUUUUUCAAGUUGAGUAUGGUAAUAGUUUUUAGCAACUUUGUUAAAUUUUAGUGUCAUGCUCAUUGAUAUGAACUAAAUUAAUUACUCGAGUAUCUUAGCACAUUCAAAAAAAAAAAAAAUUUUCAAAAAUUUCAAGGAAGGUUUCUAACAUGAUUUCCGUAAAAUAAUUAAAUGAUAACUUUUUAGAGGGGAUUUGUAAGGGCAUGAAAGUCAUUAUAAAUUCAUGAAUACAAAAACAAGUUAUCAUCCAAAUCAACUGGAUCUUUCAGAUUUAACAAAGAAAAUCAAUUAUAAAUUUAUGAUAAAUAAAUAAGUUACCAUCCAAAUCAACAAGAUCAUUCAAAUUUAACAAAGAAAAUCAUUAUAAUGGUCAAAGAGUUGAACUCUCUCCUCAUAGAACAAGGUUCAAAUUCCGGCUGAGAGAGAGAGGGAAUUUGGUUCAAAUUCUGGUUGACAAGUUUGAGAUAGGGAGGGAAUAGGGGAGUGAGGAAAGUUAAAAAAAAAAUGAAGAAGAAAAUACCCAUUAUGGCUCAUAAAAUACACAGAUGACCUACCAUCCAAAUCAACAAAAUCUCACAAAAUAAACCCCAUUUUGUUGUACAUUAGAUUUUUCCAUUAUCAUCGAGAUUAUCUUAGUAAAAGCACUAAACGCGUGAGGAACCUUAUCAAUCAAAUACAUGUCAUUACUCCAUACCUUUUGGAACGUUACGCAAAUAUGGUGUGAUGACUAACUAUUUCCAUAACUUUGACCACUUGAUUUUCAUGUGAGUUAAAAUCGCGUGUGUGUGGAUGUGAGAUUAUUCAUAAAACUUUUUAAAUAAUACAUUUUUAUGAUAUGACGUACGUGAGAUAAAAAAAAAAAAAAACCCAUUCACUAAAUACAAACACAUGAAAAGAAAGCAUGAGAAAGUGAUACAUCAUUUUUAUGUUACCUAGAGUGAUGGUUGAUAUAUAUAUGAAUUAAUCAUCUUCUAACAUGAUCGCUGACAGAUAUUAUCAUAUCAAACCUCCAUAAUUUUUUUUUUGAGCUUAACCUCCAAAACUUGAUCACUUUUACAUUUCAUGUGUUAAAACAUACAGUAAGAUCAUUAGUAAAAAUAAAUAAAUACUACACAUUUGACUAAACACGAGACGACACCAUGCUGUAAACACCAAUAUAUAAUAGAGAAAAUAGUGACCAAUACAAGUUGGCUUAGUCGGUGAGAACUAGUUAUUUUCUCAUUGUAUCCUUAUAAAUGAUUUGUAGUCUCGGAGGAGCAUGCACUGAUCCAUGGUGAUGAUCGGAGAGGAGCCCAUUCAAAAUUUUUUUUAUCCAUGAGAAAAAUGGUGAAGUAUAACAUCUUUUUACCUUACUUAGAUGGCUCAUGUGUAAUAGAGUUAAUCAUUUUCCCUAGUGCUAUUAUCUAGAACUACUAUUUUGUGGUUACAAAUUAGUACUAGUAUUUUUUUCAGAGCAAUGACAAAUAACAAAAGCAUUUUCUUUACAAGCUAAUAAUAAAACGAAAGACAAUUAAUGAUGUAAACAAAAAGUCAUGCGUAGCUCGUUGAAGAAUUAACCGAACCUUUCAUUUGUGGCGUAAGAAAAGCAUCAACGUGUAAAAUCCAGAAUCUACGAAAAUUUGAAGUUGUACCAUUAUUAUCAGUACCUCGGGACGUCACCACACAAAGAUGCGUGCACCAGACAAGAAAAGCAGAGAAAGAGAGGCAGAGACAAAAGUACAAUUUUGACCCCAAAGAUCCCUUUUAUUAUCAACUUCUCUCCUCACCUCUUCAGAGCCGCAUCUCCUCUCCUGUUCUGCAGACUUUGAGUUGUUCUUCCCAUCAUCAGGCACCAGUAGUAGUAUUAUUCCUGGUGUGGAUCUAGGGUUUCUUCUUUUCUUCCUCGUAAAAAAUAUAUAUAUAUAUAUACACUUGCAAAAGUCGUACGAAAAGCGAAAGUCAUCAUCGUCAUCAUCAAUAUUCACAAAAUUUACAUAUGCAUAAAUUUCUUCGAAAAUUCACUUCAUCGUCGGUCGGACGAGAACACGUCAUCAACGAGUACAAUUUCGUCAUCAUCGUCACCAACAAGAAUCAGAAGAAAAGCAAAGCAUAGGAAAACCAAGCUCCUUUUUUGUUCGACCAGAUCUAAGAAACCCUAAUUUUACCAGUUGAUUAUUAUAUAUACUUUCUUGGGAAUUUUUUUUUUUUUUAUCUUUUCUGGAUUGAAAAACCUGGAAAAAUCGGACCGUUGAACUUCCAAGAGGAAUUACCACUACUGAGAUGAAAAAAUGGGACCGAUUUACUUGAUUUUUGAUUUUUCCACAAAAUCAAAGCGAAGGAAAGCCAAAUCCCUACCUCAUUGGAUGAAUCCGGAUAAAUCGGCAUCAAAUUGAUACUUUGAAUAAUUUGUUCAUUUUUUGGGGUUCUAUUUUUAAAUAAUGGCGGCGGCGGGUGGUGAAUUUGAUAGAAGGGGAAAGAGUACUGGGGGAAGUGGAAGUGUAUAGUAUUGAUGAUCAGAACGGUGUCGUGUGGGACAGGGACGAAAUUCGGAUCUCUGAGUAUUCUCAGCCAAGUGAAAGGUGUCCGCCACUGGCGGUGCUGCAUACUGUUACUUCUUCUUCGUCAGACUCAGGCGGGCUUUGCUUCAAACUGGAGUUGAAAGACAAGUCUCAACAGAAUUCGCCGCUUUCCAUUUUGCACGCCACUUGUCUCAGGGAAAAUAAGGUAUUGAACAAAGAACCUGCCACCUGCCAGAAGCUGGCAAUAAUUACUCAAUACUCAGCUCAGCUUUCUCUCCUGCUCUCACCUCUGUCUCUCUCUUUAGUACACUGAGGACUAAAGGAACCAUAAAAAUUUUAACGUUUUUUUAGAAGACUAAAUGAAAAGAAAAAAAGAAGAAGAAUCUGACUUGCUUUAAGUUGUUGGUAAAGAGGAGUGAAUCUUAAUUUGAAGGGUUAACGAUGUUCCCUCAAGUUGAGAAAUCGAAACCCUAAUUUUCGGAGUAAAAUAUGUGGAAACCCUAAUUUUGGAUUUGAACCUGGACUUUGGACAGGAUUGGACCUGGACCCUCAAAUUUCUAUCAGUGGUUUUGUUGAAUAGGACUGAAUGAACCCAGAACUGGCUUUCCAUUUUACAUGAAUUGGAGUGUACCCUGAACUGAUCUCUGUUGUUGUACUUCUGCAGACAUGAUUGGAUGUAUCGACUGAAAUACAUGUGCUCGGAAAAUUCUGCAUGAACAAUUUCUUUUUCCUUAGAAAUAAAUUGGAACAAAAAUGAUUCUUGGAGAGUUUUCAACCUUGAUCUUGUAUCAAAGUUAUUUUGUUAGAAUGUGCUACUGCAUAUGGCCCCAAGCAUAUUCCUUUUGUGGAAGCUGCAGAUUGUAUGGAUUGGGGAAACCAUAAUAAAGUUUGAAAGUGGGAAUAAAAUAUUAUUAAACAGGGUUGUUCUUUUCCCUCCUGAGGCUUUUAGAUUGCAUAUGUGUUUCUGGACUUAUAUUAUGUAACAACACUUUGAUCAUUAAUACUUCAAAGCCAUUAAUCUGUACUUAACUGAUUUUGUCACAGAAGUCUUAUCACCGAAAGGGCACAUGGGGUUUUAUGCCAUAUGGCUCUAAUUCUUUGUAUCUGAAGUUUUUGUACGUUAGAAAUAAUAAAUGAGUGAAUAUCCUCAUGCGACUUUUUCUCCUUGCAUUUAACUGUAAUUAAAUGCUUUUCUUCUAUUCCUUUUAGCAUUAUUUUGUCUUGAGCACAAUUUGCAUUGUAUAGCUUGGUUUUGUUAUUUCAUUGUCUGUGAAAGGCAAAUUAUUGUGAUCUUUCCUACACUCACUGUUAAUUCUGAUAUGUCUCUGUAGACUGCAAUAAUGCCACUUGAUGAGGAAGAUGAACUUCAUUUGGUUGCCAUGCAUUCUAGACAGCAUGAAGGACAGUUCCCUUGCUUUUGGGGAUUCAUUGUUGCAUCUCGACUUUACAAUUCUUGCCUUGUCAUGCUGAACCUUAGAUGUCUUGGUAUUGUAUUUGAUCUUGAUGAAACACUCAUUGUGGCCAACACAAUGCGCUCUUUUGAGGAUAGGAUUGAAGCCUUACAGCGGAAGAUAAACUCCGAGGUUGAUCAACAACGUGUUUCUGCUAUGCUGGCAGAAAUAAAGCGUUAUCAGGAUGACAAAAAUAUACUGAAGCAAUAUGCAGAAAAUGACCAGGUUGUUGAUAACGGGAAGGUUGUCAAGUCUCAGCCCGAGGUUGUUCUUGCUUUGUCGGACAAUCACCAGACCAUUGUUCGCCCACUUUUAAGGCUUCAGGAGAAGAACAUUAUCCUUACUCGCAUUAAUCCUCAAGUAUGUCAUGUGGCGUUUAUAUUUCUAUUGUAUAAUUUGAACUUUAUUAGAUAUUGACUUUGAUCAUGAAGUAGCUGUUUGGUUAAGCAUUAUGCCAAAUUACUGCCCAUCCAUAGUUUGUAGUUUUGCUGUAGUUGUUGUUGCUGAGCAUAGGAUAGUAUCCUAGCUGGGUGAGGGAGUUGGAGAAGAGUGUGGUGAAGUGUUCAUAGACCUUAGAGGCUUGUGACUUUUGCUGGUCAACUUAAUUAGCUUGUUGGACUCUCUUACUCGGGCUCAUAUUUAUGUUUCUAUUACCUCAGAUCCGUGAUACAAGUGUACUUGUAAGAUUGAGGCCUGCAUGGGAAGAUCUCAGAAACUACUUAACCGCAAGAGGUCGAAAGCGUUUUGAAGUGUAUGUUUGCACAAUGGCUGAAAGGGACUAUGCUUUAGAAAUGUGGCGGCUCCUUGAUCCUGAUUCAAACUUGAUUGACCCGAAAGAGCUAUUGGAUCGUAUUGUCUGUGUCAAGUCUGGUGAGUUUCAUAGAGAUGUCACUUUUAUUUAGCUUGCCAUGAGGUUUUUCUUGGUUACAUUUGAUUGCGAUAUUUUCGGUGGAUUAACUGUAUAUAAGCAUUUCUGUUUAGGCUUGAGGAAGUCGUUGUUCAAUGUUUUCCAACAUGGAAACUGUCAUCCUAAGAUGGCAUUGGUGAUUGAUGACCGGUUAAAAGUGUGGGAUGAAAAGGAUCAACCUCGAGUGCAUGUGGUUCCUGCCUUUGCUCCUUAUUAUGCUCCUCAAGCUGAAGUAUGUACUGGAAACUACUGUAUUCUUUAAUAUCACCCUCAUCUAUGCUUCUUAUUGUUAUUUGUUUAAAGUUAACUAAUGAUAUCAUGAUGCCAAGAUUAAAUAAUUUGUGCUGUAGGCCAACAAUGCAAUUCCAGUUCUCUGUGUUGCAAGGAAUGUAGCGUGCAAUGUCAGAGGUGGUUUCUUCAAGUAAGGUUUUGCAACUUCUUUAGAGUUGAGAAGUACAAGCACCAUAUUAAUGGCCACUCUUAGCAUAGUCAGAUUUUAAUUUAUCAGUCUGCAUAAGCUUUUUAACCUGAGAUUAUUUGUUGCAGAGAAUUUGAUGAGGGUCUCUUGCAACGAAUUUCUGAAGUUGCAUACGAAGAUGAUAUUAAAGAAAUUCCUUCUCCUCCUGAUGUGAGCAACUAUUUAAUCUCAGAGGUUAGUGAUGGCCAUACUCUUGAAACACUUGUGCAAUCAGAGUAUGCACUUGCUUGCUUUUUUAAACAGUCAUUUUGCAGUAAAUUACUUUGGAUGUGUUUCUCAAACAUUGGCUGUUCAGGAUGAUCCUUCCGCUUCAAAUGGAAACAAGGAUUCACUUGGUUUUGAUGGCAUGGCAGAUGUUGAGGUGGAAAGAAGAUUAAAGGUGAGAGCUUUUCUCAAAAUUUGGUUUCUUUACUAGUGCUUAUUGUUUGGUUGAGUUUCCUCUGUUAUUUUUCGGUUUUACCGAGUAUAUGAUAUCUACUUUUAUGCACUUGAAUCUGUUUCCCAUCUAUGUUAGGCUAGUGAUUGAUCUACUAAUUAUUUUAUGAUUUAGGAGGCAAUUUCGGCUUCCUCCACUGCUCCUUUGGCAAUUCCAAAUUUGGAUCCAAAAAUUGUUGCCACAGUCCAAUAUGCUGUACCUUCUUCUAUUUCUGUGCUGCAACCAACGAUGUCAGGGCCAGUGGUUCCCUUUCCAUCUCAGCAGUUGUCUCAAGUGACUUCUGUCCUUAAAAAUCCUAUUAAUCAAGCUAUUCUUCCUCCAGAAGCAAGCUUGCAAAGUUCUCCUGCUAGGGAAGAGGGUGAAGUCCCAGAAUCAGAGUUAGAUCCUGAUACAAGGAGGAGACUACUCAUUUUGCAGCAUGGUCAAGACUCAAGGGAGCGCACAUCAAGUGAACCUCAGUUUCCUGUACGCACACCAUUACAAGUCUCUGCACCGAGGGCUCAGGGACGUGGUUGGUUUCCAAUUGAUGAAGAGAUGAGUCCAAGACAACUUAACAGAGUUGUACCACCAAAGGAUUUCCCUCUGCGCUCAGAACCUAUGGAAAUUGAAAAACACCGUUCCAGUCACUCUCCUUUUCUCCACAAAGCAGAGAGUGCUGUCCCACCUGAUAGAGCUUUUCUUGAAAACCAGAGGAUGCUGAAGGAGGUAAUUCAUACUUCUUUUAAUAUGAUUCAUGGGUUUGAGCUGUCAUGUGAAUGGUGCUGAUGUUGUGGGAGUUUCUUUGUGCAGACACUUCCUAGAGAGGAUAAUUUGAGAUUAAACCAGCCAGUUGCCAGUUUCCCAUCAUUUUCUGGUAAGCCUUGAAUUUUCUGUGCUUGUGUAUUGUAAUCACAAUUAUGUGGGACAUCUCAAAGUAAUUUUGCAGAGUGAAUUGCAGACUUUGUUUGGAUGAGUAUGUUGUUUACAUGCUUAACAUUUUUAGAAAUAGAUCCUCUUAGAGGCUUAUUCAUAAUUUUUUUUUCUAUAAAAUACCCCACUUAGCAUAGAAGUUAAGCUCUUAUAAUUAAUAAAUAUGGAAUUUUGCAAAUGCAUCUUAUGUCUGCAAAAGUAUGGAUAAUGUCAGUAGAAGUUAGCAACUUUUAGUAAUUGAUGAAGUUUUGAACAACUGACUUCAUUCUGCGUGUAAAAUUCCUAAUUCUGUUGCCCGAUACUUGAUACAUAUUAUUCCAUUCUGUUUUAGAUAGCACAUACAUAUGAUGUGUCCUUUCACUAGCAUUGAUCAUUGGAGAAGAAGGCUCUAAAUUGCACGAGUUAUGAAGUUUCAUAUGUCUUGGAUUGAGACUUGGGGGUGCAAUAGAUAUUUUUAGUGAGUAAAAUUGUGUUAUAUGGUGGUUGAAUUUUUAAAUUUGGCUAAUACUGUCCUCCCUGGUCAUAAAUAUUUAAGUUGCACUUGAAAGGGAAGUAUAAUUUUUUAUCCCUGUACUAUGACUCUUCAGUAACAGAUUCAUUGAGUGGGCAAAGCUUUGGUUAAAUUUUGCAAUUGAAUGGUUCUUGAAUACAUAGAGUUUGAUAUUUGUUACUAGUAGUUAUGGAGGAGUGAACCGCCUAUCCACACAUUAAAUGGCAGAAAUACUUGCAUGAUGGUUUGUUACUGAUUCUUUUUUUUUUUUUUAAUUUUUAAUUUAUUUUUUACUAGAAACCUAUCUAUGGCAGCUUUUGUAAUUAUUUGAUUCUGGGUUAUUAAUGGGCCAGUUAUGAACUUUGCUGGCAAAGACAUGAUAUCUGUGCAUUGCCUGUUUGUAUUUUCGGAUUUAUUCUUUGUCUCUCUCUCUGGGGGGAAAUGAGAAAGUAAAAGGAAUUAAUAUAAGGACAUUUUGGACGAGGGUAAUUUGAUUGUCAAAUAAAAAAGAUUUCAUCUAGUUUUAAUUUCUCAUCUUAUAUUUGGUCAUCUGUUGCCGAACCAUCUGGAUCCACCAGCAGUAAUGGAUUUGUGAUCUCUCUCUUGUCCUCUUCCUCUAUGAAUUUGUAUCAUAUGAAGGGUCUUGUACCUUUUAAUAGUUUAUAGCAUCCAGUUCAUUGUUAUUUAAACAGGAUAGGUUUACUAUAAUGGAUAAUUCGUUUGGAUGUCUGAUGUGCCCAGAUGUACAUGCAAUUCAAAAAUAAAUAACAAUGAAGUGUAUGUACUUUUCUCUGCUUAUGUUGGGACAUGCUUGUGAUGUAUUUAAGUCCUAAAUGUGAAAAUGAACAGGAUUGGUUCUUCCUGUUGGGAAAAAGGGUACAGGGGAUUGAACUCGGACUUAAAAUUCAGUGUAGCAUAAGGUUAUUGAAAUUGGUGCUAACUUGGCCUUGGUGUUUUCCAUAAAUCUUAUGUAAGGCUCUUGUGGAGUGGUAUGGAAGAUUUUGAUGCAUUUUGUUGACAUUUUGGCAUAAACCCAUCAUAUGCUAUUAUAUUCUUUUAUGGGUAAUUUCAUAAUCUGAUGUAUGUAAUGAAACAUCGUUUUGUUCUUAUUUGUUUUUUGGGAGUUGCAUUUUUUCAGGUGAAGAAGCUUCCAUGGUUCGAUCAUCUUCAGCGAAUAGAGAUCUUGACCUUGAAUCUGGACAAAUUGAUCCGCAGGCUGAAACACCUAUUGGAGCUUUGCAUGAUAUUGCAUUCAAAUGCGGAACAAAGGUAUGAGACAAUUAGACACCUCUUGAGAGUCCCAGGCUUUUUAGCUUUGCUUUCGUCUGGAAUUCUCAUGCCUGGCUUGUUUGCUCACAGGUGGAGUUCAAGCAAGCAUUGGUUUCAAGCUCGGAGUUGCAAUUCUGUGCAGAGGUUGUUUAAAUUCUUCAUGGAUUGAACAAUUACAUCAGUUUUAACCAUUAACCUUGUUAAUUAGGAGAAAAUAUAAUGAUUGAUAUACAUAUUUUGAUUUAUGUUAUUCUCUGUGUGUGUGUGUGUUUGUGUGUCCUUGUCUCUUUCUUUCAUAUCACAUUUCCGCAAAGCAAACAGAUAAAAUAUUAGUCACUCAAAAUUUAAUACAAAAACAAACAUGGGAAUGAAGACUUAGUUUCAAUAAAUAGUAUUUGAGUAAUCAAUAUAUAUCUGAAAAAGUCCACCAUUCCUUCCAAAAAAUGAAGAAAUAUAAAACCCUUUGGACAGAUUUGCCAUAAAAGCAUGCAUUUUUUCACAAUGCCUCAACGUUUCUGUAAUAAGCUGUACAUUUGGUUUACAAAGUUAUCUUGAUUACUACGUGCAUGCUGGACCUUGAUCAUCAUGUUUCUUAUUCCCUUUAGGUCUGGUUUGCGGGAGAGAAAAUUGGUGAAGGGCUAGGUAGGACCAGAAGGGAAGCACAGCGUCAUGCUGCUGACAGUUCACUUAUGAAUUUGGCUGGUAUGUUUGUUGUUCUUUACAUUGAGGUUUAAAAUGCUUUCAGGUUUUGUAUGCAGUUUACCUUUUGAUCCAAAUAUAAUUGACUUGUGAUGUGAUGAUUCCGCUAGCCCAAGGAUGGGAAGAGUUGGGGGGGGGGAGGGGAGGGGGAGGGGAGAGAGAGAGAGAGAGAGAGAGAGAGAGAGAGAGAGAGGAGAGAGUAUAUUUCGAUAUACUUUUGUUUGGGUUCUAUCUUCUGAAGAUAUAUGUAUCUUUUAUUUGAAUACAGACUGGAAAAUCUUGUGUUAAUUCUCGUGCAAGUAAAGCAAGGCAGGUAUAGAAUGUUCUAGAAUUAUUUUGUGAUACAUCAAGACACGAAAUGGCAUAUGCAGUUCUGUGGCUUCCAUGUGUUGAACUCUUAGCUCGCUUCUUAGAGUAGGAACUGUGGAGUUUGACCUUCCGUUUUUCCUGGUUUUCUGACAAAUAAGUUCAAAACUUCUUUUUCUUCAAAGGGACAAGUUUGAUAUUCAGCUAUGGAUUCAUUGUGAUUAGUUCACACUUGAGGCUGCUUUAAUAAGUUUUUCCCUGUUUUCAUUGAGGUUUAGCUUGUGGUAGCUUUUUCAAAUAGUUAAUUGAUACUAUGGGAUUACAAUGCAUUUCCUUUGAAAGAGUUUAUUCUUUAAACUUUUACUUUUCUAUUUCUUUUUCUUAAUGUACUAUUUUAAUCUUUGUAAGCCACCAUAUGCAAGAAGCUAGCACUCCAUUCAUUUCUAGUUUUUGAGUUGGAACGUUUAAUAUCUGGCAUUUUGUAUAUUUCUGAGACACUGAUGCUGAUUCCUGAAAAAUUUUGCUUCUUGCCUCAAGUUUGUUUGUGAAAAAGCACACUUUUAGUUAUUCUUUUAGUCUUUUUUGAGAUGGGUAAACUAAUUUUAAGGAAAAUGAAGAGAAAUACAAAAAAGAAUGAGCAUGUUGAUUCAUGGAUAUUUCAGCGUAUGCUUGUACAUACCAGCUACAUUGAUGUCUGGCUUUGUCUUAUUGAUGUUUAAGUGAUUUAUGACUGGCUCUGUCUUGAUGAUGUCUAUUUUGCUAGUUUUGUUUGCUUCCCUGGGAAAACCUCAAUCAAUUCUGGUAUGUUUUGCCUGGGAUGGAAGGGAACCUUUGAUAUAACUUCACCUUCUUAAAGUUCCUGUUGUUGCUUGCUGAGUGGUUUGACUGGUAGAGACUCCUUUGCAGAUAAGUAUAUAUCAUCUCUCAAACCUGAUUCCAGCUCUGUUCCUGGGGAAUGGCGUAGAUUCCCAAAUACAUCCAACAAUGGUUUUGCCAACGAUUUUAGUUCUUGGGGGUAUCAACAAUUGCCUAAGGAGGAGCCCGGGUCAUUUUCUACUGCAUCCAUGCCUCCUAGGGUGCUGGAUUCGAGAUUGGAGGCGUCCAAGAGACCUGUGGGUCCAAUUGCUGCCCUUAAAGAGCUGGUAAGAUUCUAGGAGCUGCUGUGAUUCCUUUUCUGGGAUUAUUCUUCCACUUGUAUACUUAUGAUUUCUCUUUAAUUCUUAAGUGUUCAAUGGAGGGCCUUGGCUUAGCUUUCCAAACUCAGCCUCAGCUUUCAGCUAAUCCUGGCCAAAAAAAUGAAGUGUAUGCACAGGUGAAUGUUUUCCUCUCAAUUAGUAGUUGGUUUUUGUGUCAUUUUCUUACAUGAACCUGCUUCCCUGUUUUUCUAAUUCUUCUUGUGCAAAACGAAAGCAUUUGGCUUUAUGUUUAUACAGGACGAAUAUGUCAAAAAAAGGAUGCUUACAAAUGAUUGGUAACUUCACAUGUGUAGGGUCUUUCAUCUACAUUGCAAAGCUUAUGAGAUACCUCUAGAUUUAUGCUCGUUGGUUGUUGGACUUUUUCGUGAUCCUAAAUACAUAUUUGAGGUCUUAAGCAGAUAUUGUGCUCUUCUUUGCACUGGAUGUACAUAUCUAACUACUUUUGCUCCAUCGUGUGUUCGAAUGUCUUCCUUUUUGUCUGGAUUUAAUUGCUUGGACAUGCUGAUGCACCUAUAGGAUUGAGAUAAUCUUUUCUCUUAUCCCUGUUUACUUUGUUUAAUCUGUGCUGUUGAUCAUGCUCUAGGUUGAAAUAGAUGGACAGGUGUUAGGAAAGGGAAUUGGGAUAAACUGGGAUGAAGCAAAAUCACAGGUACCAUGUAGAUUUGUUUCUAAAUUUCUUCUCCUCCUCAAACAUUCUAAGUGGAACCUUUGUGCCCGGCUGAAAUGUCGGAAGUUUAUACUCAUUCUGCAUGAAAUGUUGAACUGAGUUUUCUUGUCUAGGCUGCUGAAAAGGCCCUUGGAACCUUGAAAUCAAUGCUUGGUUCAUAUGGUCACAAGCGUCAGGGCUCUCCCAGGUGAGUUGUUUUGCCAUCACAUUGUUGUUACAUUAGAUUGUCUUGUUUUCUUGUCAAUAAAGUGGACUAUUUCGCGUGCUUUAGGUAGAUGAAAUUCUACGAAACUGUCAACAACCUUGAUAGCAUAAUUACAUGCUUGUUUAUGAUGCUGCUGCAGGUGUUUUCUCAGCUUUCCUAGGCUACUUCCACUUGCUUUAUGUUUACUAACUGCUUUUUCAUCAGACCAUGGCAGGGGAUGUCAAGCAAAAGAUUGAAACCGGAGUUUUCCAGGGUUCUGCAGCGGAUGCCAUCUUCUGCAAGAUAUCCAAAGAAUGCUUCUCCCGUACCGUAAUUCUUCAUGUCCUAAUUGCACCUUGGCAGUAUAGCAUCUGCAGAGAGACUUGUAGCUUAUGCGGUGACACCAGAGAAUUUGGAGCAAUGAUUAGGUCAUGUUCCAACCAACUGUUUUAGAUCAGUUUUACAGGCUGCGAAUUUGGGAGCAAUGAUUAGGUCAUGUUCCAACCAACUGUUUUAGAUCAGUUUUACAGGCUGCUGAUAUAGUUGCAAGUUUUUGAAGACAAGGGAAAUGCUUUGCCAUAUUGCUGCCGUUCAAAAUUGUACAUGUUGCAGGACGUUCGUGGACUACGGUACCGUAGGAGUUUGUUGCGCGAGGGUGCAAAAGGCCCUCACAAACCAAUUGGGAAGGAAAACGAGACGGGCACUGUGUAUAUCUUCUUUUCUGACAUUGAAUGCAGCCAUGAGCCAUGAAUGUGGUAGAGCUGUGUCCCUCGAAUUUGUGUUCGAGGUGGUUGUAUAAUUAUACCGGGAAUAUGGAACGCUUUCAUCGGGUGUAGAACGUGGAUUUUGGAGAGGAUUCACUGAAUGCUAACAGUACAUUGGUUCAAUGGUCUGGCUCCUAUUUCACUUUCUGGAUGAAAGAUGAAAGUGAAAGUUUUGUUCAGUUUUAGGAGCUCUUUCUUGUUGAUGUUGAUGUUGAUGUUGAUGUUGUGCAGGGUCACUGAUCUGGAUGAUACAUUCCAUUUCACUUGGCCAAUCCACCCCAGCCCAAUGAUAAAUUGGCUUUUUCGGCAUUGUGUUUCAUGUUUCCUUGUUUAAUUAGUUAAAUUACUGCUAUCGUCCAAGCGCAUUGACAACAAUGGGAAAGGGGGAUAACUGUUGAAGCUCAGCAACUGUGUAGACCACAGAAUAUAUGAAAAGAACGAAAAAACAAAAGAAAUUGGAGGUAAAUGAAAGCUCGCAUGAUGGAUAAAUGAAAAUUGAGAGAAUACACUACUCCUAUAAUUUCAACAAUAUCAAAACAUUUUUAAUGGACUCGCGUGUUUUUUGGUCGAGCAAAAAGCAGAAAACGCAUAGCUGUUUGCGCAAAAAUCAUUCAGGUAGGCUCGCAAAACAAAAAUUUCUCAAAACAUGUUUAUAUAAGGACUUAUUUGAGAAUCAUCGCGCGGGAAGGACGCAUAUCAAUUUCUCUAAACUUGGUGUAUGUGAUGUUUCGCAAAACUUUGUAUAUGAACAUACGAUGGUUUGUCGUGGUAGGCUGGUAUUCUGUCAAAUAUUCUCUAGGGAAAACUGUCAAAUAUCUUGACAAAUUAGGACGACAAGGACGCAAAAUUCUCUCAACAUUAAAUUCGGACCUCAUAAUAUAAACAAAAUCUUAUCCCAACUAUUUAGGAAACACCAGACAACUUUUCCUAGAUUUGUCUCCUUUAACAGAUCUUCUGCUUCACUCCCAAAUGAAAUGAAACAGAAGUUUCGUUCUAUUUCAUUCUUUGCAAAUCUUUUGUAGUAAUCUCUGUAUUAUUACCGUUUAACUGAACUUAAUGAACUACAGACGACUUCAUUAUCAAUCACUUAAAAUCAUCACUAAAAAACAAAAAAUUUUAAAACCAAAAUUUUCAAUAAGAAUGAAAUCCCACUACAACUAUCUUAAAGAAAAAUCAUUUAUUUCUGUGUACAAACAAAAUAACAUUCUACUUCCAAAUCCCAAUCUUGUUAAACCCUUUUUAUUCUUAAAUGUUUUUGUGAAUGUGUUGCACAUAUUUUCGAAUUUUGAAUAACGAGGAAUCCAUUCUUAUAUGAAACACUAGAUUUAAUAAGUAUCUUUUGAAAUCAAAAAAAAAAAAGGCAAGAAAACAGUUUGCAUCGAAAUUUAUCAAGACAAAAAAAAUCCCAAUUACUCUACCAAGAAAAAAAAAUAGAGAGAAAUAAACUCUAAAAUUUGAAUGUCAGAAACAAAAUACAUACCGUAAAUACUACCACUAUAAAAAUUAUUUUAAAAGUAAUAAUAAUGAAAAUAAUAUUCUCAAGUGGGAGGAGGUUGACAGAGAGAGACCCCUCACCAUCCAUCAAUCUCAUUGCUUCUUUUUAAAGCAGCAAUCACUAAUCACUAAUCAAUAGUAUAUAGUCACAGUAUUAAAUUGAAAAAAAGAAUCCACUAUAUAAACUCCUCUUAUACCAAUUAAUGAGACACACAUACAAAUAGGUGUGUGUCUCCAUAACACAGAAAUUUCCAGAGAGAGAUAUAGGAACAGAAACAAAGCAGUAAGAAGAAAAGAAGAUGGCUUCUUUUGAUACAUUUAGCAUCGACGGUGAGGAGCAGGCGACGACACGUCAGUUCGAAGACGGAGGUUACGGUGGGUACGACUCUUACACGGCGUUUUCCUCCGCCGAUACUCCGCCGUACCAAAGCGGCGGCGGGGGAGGAUUUCCAGCUGGAUACGAAGAAGAGGAAGUGACGGUGGAACACUCUCCCACUCUGUCAACAGUUCGGAUCCGUUCGGAUUCGAGGCGGAUCAGGAAGCUGCACCGUUUGAGGGGCCGGGGGCUCCAAUUCCGAAUGGAAAUGGGAGGCCUUAUGAUCUCGGGGAGGAUACGGAGGGGAUUUUUAGAUCCGAUGGACCUGUGCUGCCACCGCCUACUGAAAUGCAAGAAGAAGGCUUUGCUCUCCGGGAAUGGCGGAGGUCAGAUUUUUGUUUUUGUUCGUUUUUGACAAAGCUUUUCCUUUCUUGAGAUAAUAUUACGCAUUUCUGUUAGUGAAAUAUUUAUUGCUGUUAUAGAUCUUUGUUAUUUUGGUCUUUUACUAUUUUUAGUUUUACUAAUCUGGAGCCCAAGUUCAGAUCUUUGGUUUAGAUUAUGACAAUUUGAACUAGUUGCUCAUAACUGAUUGGUAGUAGAAUUUGCAUGGUAGUUUGUGAUCAUGAUAAAAUGUGAGUGUUUGUCGCUUUUUGUUGUUGUCCUAUUUUUGGGUGUUUUUUUUUUUUUUGGGGGGGGAGGAGGAGGAGGGAGGGGGUAGUUUAUUUGAUUUGAGCUUUGAGGAAAUGAAUCUCUGGUGAUCGAGUUUGUUAGAUGUACAAGUUCAGGAAACCACACAUCCACUUUUCAGGCACCCUUGUGGAAUUUUAGGGACUUUCCCGGUUACUACGAGCCUUGCUGCAUGAUUUGACAUGGAAUAGCUUGUUGCAAUUCAAAUUAAAAAGGGGGAAAUUUUUUUUUUUGGUUUCGUUGGUAUAUUUUGGUUCUUGUUCAAGUGAAUCAAGAAUUAAUUUGCUUUCUAUUGGUUUCAGAUGAUUUAAUUAAGUACCUACAGAUCGAGAUCCUUGACAUAACAAUUUGGCUACACUGUUAUGUAUCUAAUAACAUUUUGUGUGGUUGAGAUGGUAGAAUUGGAUCAAUAAAUCAUAAAAAAUCUUAAGAAGGGUUCAUGUACAAUCAUGCUUGUUGAUUGCAUGCCAUUAUUGCCUCCCCCCCCCUCUUUCUUAAAUGCAAGAAUAAGCUCUAUAAUUUGCAUAAAGUUUAUAGGUUAUGUAUCUUAAAUUUAGACACAUCGAGGCUAGAAUUUGAACUCAGAGCGUGAUCCUUGAGUUGACCAGAAUAUGCUUAGACUGUUGGAUUCUAAAAAAUCUUGAAUGAAGCCUUCUUAUAGGUUAUCUUUUCCCUUUUAAGAAAGAACCUAGUUGCGAAAUUUCUCAAGUCAACUUUUGACAGAUCUUGACUGAUAGUUGCCCUCGAGCUCUGCUCAUUUAGGAAAUUUGAUGUUUGACUAAUGUGGAAAGCUUGAACUUGAUUUUUGAGCUUGAGCUUUUAUACAAGAAACCAUGUAAUGCAAAUAUCAUGAACCUUAUAAUCUGCUGGACAUAAAGAGCAAUUUAAGAAGAUAUAAUGUAAUGAAUCUCUAUUGCUAUUCCUGAAAAAGUAAAAGUAUCUAAUAUUUAAUUUGUUGCUGAGCCUAAAGCAAGCGUAGCCUCUGUCAAGCCUAUGAAUGUUAUUUGAUGUUGAAGCUCAGCCAUCAAAUUAAACAAAUGAGUUCCCAGUUCCCAUCAAGCAUACUUGAGCUGAACGAAUAAGCAGUGUGUGAACAGUUGUGUUUUGAAACAAUUCUACUGAACUGUCAAGAAUAUUAGGGACGGAAUUCCCUCCCUCUCUAUGUCUCCCCUUUUUUUCUUCAAGAAAACUGGUCUUGAAUCAUAUUAAGCACUUCCUUCUCUCUUCCAAAAUUAGCAUGAAUGUUUUGUUAGAAAAUUUGAUUGAAUGUCAAUCAGAUCUGUUGGACUGAUCAACUAUAUUCUUUCUGAUAUAUAGGUUGAAUGCUAUUCGACUUGAGGAGAAGGAGAAGAGGGAAAAGGAGAUAAGGAACCAAAUUAUUCUAGAAGGUGAAGAGUACAAGCAGGCUUUUUAUGAGAAAAGAAAGGUUAAUAUUGAGACCAACAAGAACAACAACAGAGAGAAAGAGAAGGUAAAGCUUUAUUUGGUUUUAGCUUUAUAACCCAGAUUUGAGUUUUUGUUAAUUCUGCAUUAACCUGGGGUCGUGUAUUGUUAUGGGCAAAUUGCAUGUUAGUCCUGUACUAUAAUGAAAGGCAAAAAAAAUCUUAAUUUUUUCUAAAAUGUAUGAGACAAGAUUAUACAUGCUUUUAGUUGUUUGUCUCAUUUCACUAGUAUAUCAAAUUACUUUGACCAAGUAUAUUUCCAAACUGGGAGGUUGCAAUUGCUAAAUGUCAGGCUGCUACUAGAGCUUCUUAUAAGCUGAGUGAGAAUUGUUGCAUCCAGUUGGAGCUAGACAGAGUUAUUGAUAGUGGUCCUUUUUGAUUAAACAAUUGUCAUUAGAAGGAAAGCACCUUACAUGAGAAAAAGCUCUUAUUUUCUAAUAAAACUGAUAUUAUUAUCCUUGCUGCUCGUGUGUAGUUUUUGUCCCAUUUCUUUGGUUGAUUACUGAUUCUUAGUCAAAAAAUUCAAUAGAGUCGUUGAACUUUCUUGUGACUCAAAGGUGCUUUACUGUUAUUUCAACUGAUAGGAUUGCGCAACAGGCAAAAUCACUUCGUGUAAAAAAUUUUAUGGGCUGAGAUGCAUCCGUAAAAAAAAAAAAAAAAAAAUCAGAUUUAUACAGUAUAUAUAUGAUUUUAAAAGAUGACUUCCUGAGAGUUUAAUUUGGUCUAACCUUCGAAUCCAUCUAUUUUUGGGGCAGUUGUGCUUGGCAAGUCAAGAGAAAUUUCACAAGGAGGUUGAUAAGCACUAUUGGAAAGCCAUAGGAGAAUUGAUUCCGCAUGAGGUCCCGAAUAUUGAGAAAAGGAGAGAAGAAGAACAAGAGAAGAAGCCAUCAAUCACCGUCAUCCAAGGACCCAAACCAGGCAAACCCACCGAUCUUUCAAGGAUGCGCCAAAUACUAGUGAAGCUCAAGCACAAUCCCCCACCUCACAUGAUGCCGCCUCCGCCUGCUCCUUCCAAGGAUGAUAAAGCUGGGAAGGAUGCAAAGGAUGGGAAAAAUGCAAAGGCCAAGACUGGAAAAGACGCUGAAGCUAAUGCCAAGGGAUCUGCAGUCGGUGAGGCAGCUGCCGCCCUCACUAAAGAAAAAGAACCAGUUGCUAAUGGCUCUGCUCCCACAUCUGCUGAAGAGACUGAAGCUGUGGCCAGUGAGCAGCCUGCGAAUUAAAUUUCAAUGUUAGCUAGUCUUGAUAGUGCCCUCCGACAUCCUUUUUUUGCGUUUAUGCCGAUUAUUGUGAUUGUUAUUUGCAUGCCAUUUUAUGAAUGUACGUACUGUUUCUGCUAAGUCGAUUCAGCUCUCUGAUCCAUUAUGAGGACUUGUUAUUGUGUUUUUGAAUUUUUAUUAUAUUGAUUGAGAUUCAUCUUGUUACUUGAAACUUGCUCUUAAUCUCCGGAGUUGUGCAGCUAAAACUAAGACCAACGAUGUUUGCCCAGAAUCCGCAUCUUUUUUCAUGGUAUCAACAGUGUGGCUUCGACUACGCUGGAGUAGGUUUGACUAUUCGUUGCUUUUCUCCACCCCAAGAUCAACUCUCUCUCACAUGCGCAGAAAGAAAUUCCUAACGCCAAACAACUGUUGCCCUUUUGUGUCAAUGCUUACGCGCCCCGUUUUAUGUGAAAACUGGCAAACCGCAAGUAACAUAAGUCACCGAAGGGAACUUCUUCUGUACCAUUAAAUUCAUCCUUCCUCCUACCUCCACUGUGGGUUGUGACUAGGGCUGCAAACGAGCCGAAUCGAGUCGAGUUUUGAGCUAAUCGAGUCGAGUCUCGACUAAAUUUUAUCAAACUCGAACUCGACGAGCUGGCAAUUUUCGAGCUCGAGCUCGACUCGAAUCAAGUCGAGCCGAGCUCGAGCUCGAAAAAAUAAAAAAUAAUUAUUUUAUUUUUAAAAAAAUAAAUAAAAUAAUAUGUUUUUCUGAAUAAAUAAUAAAAUAUUAAGGAUAUAUACGUAAUUUCACUAUGAAAAUAAAAAAUAAAAAAUAUAUAUAAUAUACGUAAUUUUAUUAUUAAAUAAAAAUAAAAAUAAAAAAAUAUAUAUAUACUCAAACUCGCGAGCCGGCUCGCAAGCUAAUGAGUUUAAUAUUCUGAACUCGAGUUCGAGCUCGAAUCGAGCCGCUCGCGAGCGACUCGAUUCGUUUGCAGCCCUAGUUGUGACGUCCUAAGCCGUAGAAACCAUUUGUUGGCUCGCGAGCUAACGAGUUUAAUAUUCUGAACUCGAGUUCGAGCUCGAAUCGAGCCGCUCGCGAGCGACUCGAUUCGUUUGCAGCCCUAGUUGUGACGUCCUAAGCCGUAGAAACCAUUUGUUUUCAAUGAGAGUGGAAGGUCAAUAUGAAUGAAUUUACUUCUAGAGGCAAAAAGGGCAACGCGAGGCAACUGCCUUGAUGGUUUAUUUGAAUCUAAACACUUUUCACAUCUCUCUUUUCCGGCAAGCCAUAAAAAAUUAAGUUGGUACCCAACCAGGCAAGCUUGAGUUGGUACUUUUUCCUGAUUGAGUUGGUACUUUUUCCAAAAAAAAUUAAUUCCUAGGCAAACGUUUCGAUAUUCAGUUCACUUUUUAGGCUGCUCGUACCCAACCCAAGCACAAGCGCAAAAUCACACCUUGAUGAAUCAGAUUUUCUCCCACUACUAAUCUCAAGCUUGAGAAGAAUGGAUCACCGCUCGAGUACACUUCCAUUUUCUCUGACUUGCUCUUUUGUACUCUUUUAUUUUUUUUAUUUUUAUAUUUAGGGGGAGUUGUUGGUUGAUUAAUGUAAAAUUGGGAUAGCUUUUCAAAUGAGACUAGCUUCAUUCCAUAAAUCUCAACACUUGCUACUUCUAAAUAAUUUACAUAUUGCAAACAUAAUAAUAAUAUGUUUGCUACAGCAAAAUUUUUUCAGGGGUGGAAACAUCAACGGACCCGGAACAUCAACUUGCUCGGCUAGUCUUAGUUAAGGCCAAAAUCCAGUCGUUGAUACAUGCACCAACCAACUCCUCCGACAUGGGAUCCUUUGGACGAUAAUUUUCUCAUUUGUGUUUAUUAGCUCUGAAACUCUGGUUUACGAAGAAUAGAGGCCUGAGGUGAGGCCUUAGAUUAUAGCAGCAACUGGAAAAACACCAAAUGCAGCUGAAUUAUAUACUCUAAAUACAGAUUUACCAGUGUCAUUUGUCUCGAUAAUGACCCAUACACUGCUCUACGUAAUGAAACUCUUUUUUCUUAUUUUGUGUCCCCAUCUGAAAAUGAAUCAAGGCCAACAUAUUAAGGCCCAAGUGAAUAAAACCUCAAAAUCAAAUAAGAGGAAGAAGAAACUCAAGAAAGCACAUUAAUCUGAAAAAGAAAUUACUCCUGAUUACUUCCUAGUUUUCUAUAACUUUAAUUUCUUGUUUGACACUCAAUUAAAUUGUGCCCUCUGCCAUCCUGGAGUAAGUAUUGGACCCUGGAAUCAAUUUUCAUCUAGCUUUGACCUGAGUGAUACUGACAGGAACAGAGCUCAUCUGAUAGCUAGUAGAGCCUUCAGACGACUUCUCUUUUGACUGUAAGCUACUAAGCCCACCUGAUUCUUGGAAGAAACCUGGGGGUGUAAGUUCCUUCUCAUUAAGCCGGAUGUCUCUCGAGAGCAUCUCUAUAACCUGGCUCAUCAACGGCCUUCGAUGCGCUUUAGCUUGUGUGCAGAAAAGGGCUACCUUCAUAUACCUAAGGACCUCUUGCUCAGGAAACUCCUUCAGUUCUGGAUCAACUAACUCCAACAACUUCCCUUCUUCGUAGAAUUGCCAUGCCUAUAAAAGCAGGUAAGUUUAUUCGGAGUUGGAAACAAUUCAAGAAGAAAAAGGCCGUGUCUUCAACCAAACGCUAUAAGCAAAACCAUACAAUUGGAUACUUACAAAAUGAGGAUACAGAGAAAUUCAAUUAGUCUGUAAAUGUGUGUGUGUGUGUGAGAGAGAGAGAGAGAGUUCAGCGGCAAUUCAACUAUAACAAAACAUAGUAACAACCUGAGUAGACAUAGCAGGAGCUAUAUCAGCAAAAGUACCAUAAGGAUUAUAUGUUUCAUCACUAGAUUUACCUUUUCUGAUGACUAGAGUUUAGACCAAGGUAUUCAGUUUAUGUGUUUUAUUCUAGGGUCACAUUUGUCAUGUUUCUCUAUUGGCUAGCGAGAAGGUCUCCCUGUUGUUUCUAACUUAUGGUUACAUCCAAUUGAAUCUAAGGCAGUUUUAAGUUUGGGGUUACAAAGAUAUUUAUUACAAAGGUCAGGUUGCCUCUGCUGUUUUCUUUUUCUUCGUUCCUUUUCCCCCUGUUCGAUGUUCAGGCAUGAGGCAUGGACAAUUUGUCAAAAAAAGUCCCUUGGCAUCAAGUUCAUUGUUUUCUUGGUACUCUAGCAAGAUUUAGUCUGAAGAUUAAUCCCUUUUUGUCCCCUUAACCUUGUCUUCAUGUUGUUGUCAUCAAUGAACUCAAACAAAAAAUCCAAUAUAACCCACGUUUCUUGACGUUCUCAAUUCUUGCCAUUGAUGGAUACAACCAACCAAUGGUAAACUUGCUAAAAGGGCAAGCCCUGUUGGCAAUUACUACUAUAGUGGCCAACUAUGCCAAAAUCUAUCAGAAUGUACUCUUCAAGCAUGCAUUCUAACUAAUGGCCUUAAGAGAGUUUGGAGACUCAGCACCAUCAAAGUUUUCUCCCUCAUUGAGAUGGCAGUAUGGCACAUCAAAGCACAAUGGAAAAGACCUACUAUCUCCAGAUGCAUCAUGCUUACAUGCACAUCUGUAUUCUCUAUCAUGUACUUAACUAUAUUCUAUGUGAUUGCAAUGUCCACUUGCCUAAAGAACCACAUACAAGCUCUAAGAUGCAAUUUAACAGAACUGGAAAAAUCAAAAUCUUAAAAAAAAUAAAAUAAAAGAAGUUUUCAAAGAGUUUCAUGAUAAGAUUUCAUCAAUUGAUAUUCUAUGUUUGACUUCUUAAAUUCUGAUGAUGUGAUUUCUUUUUCCUCUACAAGAUUCUCUUCACUUUCUGCAUAUUCUGAAAUGUGUCAGUUGUUAGUCGUACUAUCAAGUUAAACCUAGGAACAUUAAAUCUCUUUUCAACAAGCCAAUUUUAUAGAUAAUAAUCAGGAAUAUCCAUUCCACUAUUAGUAAGACAGAUCUUUGCAACUCUUUUAAUCCCUUGAGAUCAAAAGUUGAUUAAGCAAUUUCUACCCCCAUAAAGCUGCAAGUGGUGCCUCUCUCUCUAAGCCUGAUCUGCUUAUUUCUGUAGUGUUAUGCAAAUAUGUAUCGCCAUUUUUCUUUACUUCUAAAGGACUCCUAAUCAGGUUAUGUAAUUCCAAUAUCAGAAGCCCAUCAGAAUAGUCAAAAGUCCCAAAAGAAAAGGGGAAAAAUAAAAAAUUAUUUUUCAUAUACACGGUCCCCAGUGCCAGAAAUGAUAUGGAAGUACAAGUUUUCUACAUUCUCUAUACUACAAAGUAUGAUCAUCAGAAGGAAAUGGCAAGCAGAUGUAAAAAGAACAACUCAGAACUAAUAAUUCCCGUACUUCCAGCAAUCAUUAUGUAAACAACAGGGCACGAAAACUCCACAAUUAGUGCAGGAUAUCCUAUGAUCUAUACUGUAGGUACGGUCCAAACCUUACAUAAAAAGUCACUAUAAAUUUCAAAAGUGAGACACGCACCAUUUUCUGAAGGAUCUUCUUAGCCUUUUUGUUAACAUUUUUAGACAUUACUGUGAGCAGUCAACACCUCUAAAAUGGGGAAAGGUUCUGGCAGGAUAAUAUCAUGUCAAUACACACCCCUAGGUAAUGCUGCUUUUUAAUUGAAUAAAAAUCAUGACUAGCAGCAAGCAAAUGCACAUGAAUAACAGAAUAACAGCAAAAGAGGUGAAGCUGCUGCAAUGAAACUUGAGAUAUUUUAGAUACCUCUUCCAGAAGUAAUUUCCGUGCCCCUCCCCAGAAUGAACUUGAACUGCUCUUACCGCUUACAACUUCAAGUACUACCACACCAAAGCUGUAAAUGUCAGCCUUCAUUGUUAGUUGACCACCUAAUGCAUAUUCAGGCGCUAGGUAACCUCUGCUUGAAAAACAUGAAAGAGUUAAAAAGGAUGAAGUAACCCCUGCUUGAAGAACACGAGAGCUAGAUACGUGCAUUAGAUGAACACAACUUCCACAGUUGACAAAUGCAUGCUCAAGAUUAGAUAAAAUUUGGGUUUCAAAUUCUUCAAAUCUAUGUAUAAUUGAAGGGUAAAUUUCAGAAAAAGUUUAGCAUUGGAAACUCCCCAAAGUUAAAGACCAAACUGACUCUAUAAUCCUCAAUAGACCCAGCGCAGUUAGAAUAGAUUCUGUAACUCAUGCCAGUCACACAAUGACAACUGAUUCUGCCAAAUGUUGCAGUUAUAGAAAAUUACUACUGGACUUUAGUAGAAGAACCACCUCUAGGAUCUGAAAAGCAAUUCUUCCAAUCUCUACGUAUCCAUUUUGCACAAAGUAUUGAUUCAUAAGCAUGUUUUAACAAGACCAAUCUAUUUAGCAAUAGUCUUCCAACGAUGAAUAAAUGCAAAAGUUUAGUGUUACGUAGCAGAGCAAACAGAGUUUCUAGAACUAUAUUGUAAGUAACUGAAAACUUCUACUAUCAACAAGAGAGGAGACAUACGUUGUCCCUGCUAUUUUGUGCUGAUGUGGGUUAUGUCAUCUGGAAAAAGUUUAGCCAACCCAAAAUCUCCAAUUUUUGGUGCAAAGUCCUUGUCAAGAAGUAUAUUACUAGCUUUAAUGUCUCGGUGCACUAUGUGUGGCACAAGUUCUUCAUGAAGAUAUGCAAGACCCCUUGCAGUGCCCAUGCAGAUAGCUGUUCUUUUGUUCCAUUCCAGAUUUACCACCCUACUUCUACCUACAAAAUGGAAAAAGUAUUCAAUAUUCAAUUGAGGAUCAUUAGUUAUCAAUGAAUUCCAAGUUCUUGCAAAAAUUUUCAAAUACCAAGUAGUGCAUUAUCAAGGCUUUUGUUUUCUAAAUACUCGUAGACCAGUAUCCUGUCAGGUCCAUGUACACAGCAUCCGAUCAUCCGAACAAGGUUUGGAUGUUGAACAUUUGAUAUAGUUUCAAUCUCAGUCAAAAAUUCACGCACACCCUGCUUCGAGAAAGCAGAAAGCUUCUUCACAGCAACUGGAGUUCCACUCUUCAGUUUUCCCUAAGAAAUUACAGCAUGGUUAAGAAAGUCAAGUCAAAUCUAACAGUUCCAGAAAAGAUCAGAGAUAUGCUUCUCAACUGGAAAGCCAAAUAUAGUUGUUUGAAUUGGCAAAAAAUAACUUCCUGGACAAUCCAAACUACUUUAGCAUGAAGAUGAAAUCUUGUGACUCCUAUGGAAACAAGCAUCUUUUUUUACGAAUGUACACACUCACAAAUAAAAGAACCUAUGUAACUUCAUGCAUUAUAUUAUCAAUCUACGCAUUCUUCAUACUCUUUCUUUUAAAUAGUAAAAAACAGAAUUCCUGUGGAGCAUUUGAGCUAUAUGCCACCGAAACAAAUUAUAUAAUACAUCAAGUAUAGGAAGCCCUCUCUGUAUUAUUUUACUUCCAGAAAAAUUCAUGAAAAGACCCAGACUUCCUAUUAGACAGUUCAGGAUGUAAUUCGGUGAACAAUAUAUGGCAGCAUGAACAAGAGAUAAUUUCAUCUGAGAAACUUAUAGCAACUACCUUGUAAACUGUCCCAAAUCCUUGUAAACUACCUGAGAAACUGCAAAUACCUUGUAAACUGUCCCAAAUCCUCCUCGCCCUAUCUUAUUGCUUUGAUGAAAGUUAUCUGUUGCUGCAUUUAAUUCAUUGAUUGAGAAGUUCUUUGUCUUACCAAGUAAAAUCCCUGUUAAUAGAACAAUUUAAGAAUCAUUUCUGGCAAACAGAUGUUGGAAAGUCAAAAAAGUAAAACUCAAAGACAUAAUUAUUGUUGACUUUUGCAAUGUUAAGUAUGUAGGCGAGAUAACAGCUUGAAAUUUUCCUGGACUGAGAGAAGUUUCAGUUAGUCCUUCUAAGUUGUCAGGUAUAACUAUGGUUCCAAUACACAUACGUUAAGCAAGAUUGCUCAUACUUCUAUUUGUUGGUUCUGAAAAAAUGCAAAAAGACUGAUUGUAGAAAAAACAUUAACAAGUUUGACACAUGAUUGAUAAUUGGUAAGAAAAAAAAGAUUAAUGCAUUUGUUGGUUUUAAUCUUUUAGCAUUAUUGAAACUAUUAUGCUGAUUAUGGCAUCCAGCCCAGUCAUCAAUCUGUAGGAUAACAAAGUCGGAAAGAAACAGGAAGAAAGAAAUAUGUUGCUAUUUCAAACCCUAAAGGUCAUAAAGGUGAUUGAGUAUAUCUCUGUACUUAGGUUGACCACAUCUCAGAAUGAUCAUUAAGCUAAAAGAAAAGAGAAAGAUGCAUCUUUUAUGAUCUAGUUUGAAAUAGUUAUCCUAAAAGACAUAAGAAUUUAGAAAACUUCUUAAAAGCCCCUCAACAGCAUCACAUAACAAGCUUAUGACCAAGAAAACUUCAGACUUUGAUGUUUGGCUGACCACAAUUUCACAGAUGAAAUAAAAAUUCUUCAUGCUGCCAGACACCAUUGCCUUGAUCAGCAUCUUAGGAUUUAGUCAAUAUGCACUUUGAUGACUGGUUUUAUGUUGUUCAAAGUACCAACCAUUUGUGAUAAUGUGAAAAUGUUGAAAACUGAUAUACAAGAAAAAGAAUUCACCAACAAUAUCAUGAUUCUGAGAACAAUGUACCAGCAAUUCAUUUACAUGAAAGCAAAAGAAAAUCCCAACGUCAAAGAAAUUGACAAUUAAAGCAAACAAUCUGAUGUCUCUUCUCUAUGCUGUGAAAAACGUCCAUGAAAAAUAUUCUGGAAGGCAAAAUAAAAGAAACUAGUAUGAAACAACACUAACAUCUAUGAUGUCUAAACUGUAAUAAAGCACUCACCUUCAGCAUCACCUGUGUCUGGACGAGAAUAAUAGUUAGCCCUAUUCUGCUUGGUACUAGAGGCACCAAAGCAGCAACAACCCAUGUCCCUUGGCAGCUUUAUGAUAGCAAUUUCAAAAUCCGAUCAUAAAGCCUCUCACAUUCAUUUUCUGCAACCGUGACCAUCCAUCUCCUCAAUAUGCCUAAAGCGUCCAAUCAUGCACUGAACAAGAAAGAGAAGAUGCUAUAGGAUCAAUAAAAUCUUUAUAUAACAAGAACAGCUUCCUAAUAUUAAAACACUAAUCAAGUUUAAAAAAAAUUUAAAAAGAGCAAAAAGCAACGCCCUUUGGCAAAAUUCAGAAACAAUAAAAAAUAUAUAAAAAAGAGCAUCACUAAUUACGGAUGCAAUUGAAGACAUCACUCGAACCAUUUCAUCUACUUACAUGCAAAUGAAGUCGAACCCUGGCUUUGCAUUUUCAAUUAGGCUGACAAUAUUUAUUUCGUUUGUUAAAAAAUCUGCGGCAUAAUCCAUUAUUAAUUAACCAAAUGCAAAGUAGUGUUGAGCUUAGCUCAACUCCAUAAUUCUUCUUUUUUUUUUUUUGGGAACCGGAGGCCGGGUGUUGGGGGGGCGAGAAGAAAUCCAGAAUGAACCCCCAAAAAUUUAAAUAAAAAAAAAAAUUCAAUGGAGCAUACAAAAUUCAACCCAAAUACUAAAAUUUUAAGAGGAAAAAAUAUUGAAAGAUCAGAGUAAACUUACAGAUUAGAUUGUUAGCUAAAAAGGGUUCAACCAGCAGCGUCCGAGGAGGAAUUUGGAGAAUAGUAAUUAAGGAUUUGUAAAAAGCUAAGACUUGCAAGAAAUGAAUAUAUAGGAAUGAACUGAAAGGGUUCAAAACGACAUGGUUUCUUAGACGGUUUUGGUGUGAAACGGCCAGGAGUCAUCCCUCUCUACCAGCCCCCCACUCCCAGAUAAUCAGCGUUUUUCCACCUUGACCAAAAUUUGGUCCGAGGCUACUAACUCUUUAACUCGUAUAUAUGGACAAUGGAUCUUCAAACUAAAGCUAGAAGGUCUGCGCGCCGUGACUGACUGUAUUGUGUGUGUCCACACUUUUCACUGGGUGUUGGUGACACGCUCUGAAAGUGACCUCCGGAUUUGUACGUGCCCAGGUUGGCCGGCUGUACUCAACCAACAGGUGUUUUACUUUGCUCUUCUUCUUGCUGUCCCCAACUCAAGUUUACUCGGAUUCAGCCACCGGAACUUUCUUACCCAACAUUUGGGCUUUUAUUGGGUUUUUUCUGGUUUUUACCAAGCGCGUCUGGAUUUCCAAACAUAGGACCAUGCAAAGGAAGAGCAAACAAUCCUAGGAAUUUCCAAAAGAUUAGACGCUGAGUCUCCAGUAUAUGAAAUCAAAUAAAGCUGUUUGUAGGUGCGCCCGCACCACUUUAGGCCUUUUUGAUAAAUAAAUUCAAUUGUUAAAAUUUAAUAGAUUCGAGUCUCGAUCAAGUAAAUGACACCGAAAUUAAGUAUUUGAAUUAAUUAUGUGAUAAUAAAUUUUUUAGGAAAAAUUUAUUAUCACAUAAUUAAUUCAAAUACUUAAUUUCGGUGUCAUUUAAUUGAUUGUAAAAUUUAUUUUCAAAAAUAAGUUAUAAAUCAUUCACUUAUUACUUAAUUUGAUAUAUACUUAAAAUAUAUAUAUUAGUUUUGUAUUUAAUAAUUUAAUAAAUUGAUACUUUAAAUUUCAAAUUUGAAAUUUCAAUUUUAGCAAAUGUAUGCCAAGUCAAUGGGGGAUGAUUAUUUAGUGCAUCAAUAAUAUGCUCUGACCUUAGAAUGAGACCAACCUUCCCUCCUCCUAAGGUUCUACAUAAAAAAAAAGAUUUUUUUUAAAAAAAAAAAAAAAAAAAAAGAGAACUCUAAGCAAGAAAAAGAACACGGGGAGAGAGCUUAGACUCGAAUUAAGUACUCCACUAUUUUUUGAAGUUGAUGAGUUGUACACAUGUCGUGUCAAAUUUUAAAAUUCUUACAAAAUUUUCCUAUAUACGACAUGGAGUUAUGUAGUCUAGACUUGGAUCAUAAUUUUUUCUGUAAAAAACAAAAAAAAUAUUACGUUUUUCAUUACUAUAUUUUUCAAUCACUUUUUUAUUUUAUAUGUAUCAAGUCAUUAUAGUAUAUUUUUUUACAAAAACUCCUAACAAUAACAAUCCAAACGAGACCUAGUGGAGUUCUUGAACGAAUUUUGAGUUAUACAGUACUAUAUUAUAUCUUUUGAUUCUCGAAUGUGAAGACACCUUUUGUUGUAUCUCUUCAUUCUUAAAUGGAAACAUCUCGUAGGCUUCUACAGUAUGAUUUAUAAGCCUAGGUACAACAGCUGCAUUGAAAAUUUUCACCUGUUUGUUAUAAUAUAUAAUAUUUGUUAGACACAAAUUUGAUGAAAAGUCAAAAGGUGAUUAGCUUCAGCAUAAUGUGAAACAAAGGUUAAUACCACAUUUGGGCACUUGCCUAUUACUACUUCCCAUCUUACGAAACGAAACCGUAUGGAAAGACAAAUUCUAGCUGCCCUGCAAAACCUCAAUUAAACAGACCUCUCUUUUGUAUUUUCAUGUGUUUAUAAUAUGGCUUUCAUUUUUUGACUAAUUCCUUUUUCUUGACAUUACGUUUGACUUUUACCUUUUUUUCACACAGGAAUUUAGUGGGUUUUUUUUUUUUUUUUUAAUUAUCUGAUGGUGAUAUGAAGUUUGGUUUUGAAUAUACUAUUUAUUAUAAAGGAAAAAUGGUCAGAUACUUGCCUAUAGAUUUAGGUCAGAGGGAUGAGUACUGGCCUUUGAAGUUUGGAAGUUAAAUCAACCUUUGACCACAACAAAUGCCUAGAAUUCUUAUGGAAGUCAAAACCAGGAUUUGAAAUAGGCUGGCGUUUCUAAUGGGUUUUUUUUUUUUUUUUUUUAAAUGAGAAAUUUUAAAUUCAAUAUUUAUCGUUUAUAAUUCCUUUUAACUUCGUUUAUAAUAGGGAUGACGAGGUGUGUUGCAUAAUUACAUUUUUCAAAAGUAUUGAACGCAGUCCAACAAUACCGUCAUAGCAUCAUCUAGAUUGAUGACGAUUAUUGGCUUUGGCUUGGCUCCAGGAUUCAAGUUCAACAGAAACCGACAAGAAAAAUGAGCAUCGCGUCCAAUUCCACUAACAUGACAAAGGGCACCAACUGGUUUGCAUCGACGUGGCUAUGUUUGCAGUCACGAGAAGAAAAACGUAGAAAACUCUGAUGGAGUUGGACAAAGAAUUUCGUGACAAUGCGUUUGGAAAUUUAAUGUGUUGCAGGUGCAAUUGGGUGACCAUUCGUCAGUCAGAGUGAGUUGAUUUGCAAUUUCACUCUAAAUUUCUUCUAACCUUAUGUUACAGGAUUACCAUUUUCAGGGUAAAUGGUAUACCAUCAAUCCACACAGUAUGUUUGAAUAGUUUAUUACUACUACUUAUAAAAAUUUAUUUAAUUGUAUCAUAAAUAUUUUUUUAAAUAAAUAUUUUUUUUUUAUCUUUACAAUCAAUUUUUUUUUCAUUUCAUGUACAUCGCAUUAAAAGGGUACACAAUCAGUCAGUCAUAAUUAAUUUAGUUGGUAACCAAAUAACAGAGCUCGGAAAACAAUAAAAGAUUACAUGUUUCGUGUGAGAGUUGAGAAAUGAAAGGUAAAGAUAUGAUGAAUUACAGACGUGAAAAGCAUUACUAGUAGGGUAGAAUGGAGAGACGUAUGAGGAUCUUCCAUCGAACCGAUGAAAGAGCACUUUAGACCAAGAAAAUUCUUGGAUGGGAAUUGUCCCCAAAUCAAGAUAGAAAAAGUGAACAUGUUACUGCUAAGAAAUUGACUUAAUUUUUUUUAGACAGAUUUCUUAUUCUGCGUAAAAGUAACUAGUUUCCUAAUUGUUUAAUCAAAGAAUUUUCUAUUUGUACGAGUUUAAGAAUUAGAAAUUAUUUUUUAUUCAGGAUGAAAUUAGAAAUUAGCGGUUAUUACUUGGGUGUUAGUCAAAUGAUGCAAUUUAUAAAUGGGUGGAGGUUGGCAUGCUAUAAAAUGACACAUAAAUGUGACAUGUAUCCUUAUAUAUGGGUAAAAAAAGGUUCUUGAAAAAUGAAAAAUUAUACAAGGGUUUAAAUUGGGUUCAAGUUGUAUUCUUAUAUAGGGUUUUUCUCUCAUAAUAAAUAAUUACAACGUAAGCUCAAUGAUGAAAUCGAGCACGUUAAAUUUUAUGUGUCGUUUAUCUUUCAUACUAUGACGUAAGCUCAAUGAUGGAGUUGAACUAUGUAUAUCUUGUGUCGUUUAUUUUUUACUUAUGCUUUAUUUGUCAUUAAAUUGUUAUAUUCUUGAUAUUUUAAGAUGCAGUGAAUUUUGUGUCUGGAUCUCAACUGUUAUUACUAUUUGGAAGAUUCGGCCUCCUGGAAUUCUCAACUUGGCCCGUGACCCAAAAAACAGAUUGGAUCUGGGUUGACUUUGGGCCAAGCCCUGAUCCUUUGAUAGCCCUAAGGAAUUAUCAGUGAUGGGCUCAGUUGAAGCUAGGUGGCACCCGUGGCUAACAUUUUAGUCAAUAAGCUUAGUUGGGCUUGAUUACUGGUCCAGAGAGAUGUGGUUCGGGGUGCCUUCAGAGUGUUUUGAUCCACAAAAAAAAGGCUUAGUAACAGGUUUAACAAGAUACGUCAAUUGAAAUGCCCAUGCAAGUUAAUUUUAGUACAAACGUCGGAAAGUUCCUUCUUUCGCCCGGAAAAGAGCUUCUUACAUUGUGAAGGGCUUUGUUCUUACACAAUACUGAAUUUUGAGCACAUUUGCUGGUACAUGAAGAGUAGGUCCUGACAAUUAUUAUUAUAUUGUCCCUGUGGAGAAAUUAAUCCAUUUGGACUGCUAUUUUUUCGGAGAUUUUGUAGUAAAAUGUACUAUAGUAAUUUGCUCUUAAACCGAAUUUUGAGCACAUUUGCAGGUACAUACAGAGUAGGCACCGACAACUAUUAUUGUCCAUGUGGAGAAAUUUAUUCAUUUGUACUGCUAUUUUUUUUAGAGGUUUUUCAGAAAAGUUUAUUGUAACAAUUUGAUCUAUUUAAAAUAAAAAAGUGAUUAAAAAAUAUGUUACCAAAAAGUAAAUUUUUUUAGAGGAAAAUAGCUUUAUCUACCUUCCAUGACAGACACUUCAUUACGAUUUUAAUCAUAAACUAAUCAUUGGAUCCAAUUCUUUUUUUUUUUUUCUUAAAGUACUAAUGAACAAGAAUACAAUAAUGUGCCACAAUUAGUCGGCCAUUCAACUGUUUUCCAACAGAAAAAGAUUGUCUGGAUUGUAUAUUAUUUUCAUCUUAUUUACACGCACGAACUUACUUACAUUAUUAAUAUAUUUUUUAAUUAUUUUUUAUCUUAUAUACGUCACAUUAAAAAAAAUAUUAUAUUAUUUUUUUUCACAAAAUUAUCCCAAAUAAUCUCCCAAGCAAUUAAGCAUGGGCCCUCCAACAAAUGGGGACAAAAAAAAAAGCAAGAAGAAAAUAUUGACCCAGGCGAGAGAAAACAAAACGCAGAACAAGUACUCCUCUCCCACAAUUCGCCCCUGUGCCCUUUUUUUCUCCCCCCCUGAACACCUGGAAUCUGCUCACUUGGCUCCUACUCACUCUCAAACCCUAACCCCACUUUUCCACAUCCCUCUCUUUCCUACGCCCAAAAGCAUCUUUCACACAAACACGCACAACACACACACAGUGCUUCCUGUCGCCCUCAAUUGCGACUUUCCUUCCACUUGUCUGUCCAUUGCUCACAAUUCCAUUAAUUUAAUUAUCUUCUACUAUAUCUCUUUCUAUAUAUAUAUAUAUAGGGCUUUUUGGGCCUUUUCUCGGUUCUAUUCAGAUGAAUGAUUCAAACCCUUCUCCACAUCCCUCCAAGGACUCUGCUGCUGCUGCUCCUGCUCCUGAAGAAGAAGAAGAAGAAGAAGAGAGUCCUCGUCUUCUGCUAUUACUAUUAUUUCUGCUUCGGUUUCUGUAGAAGCUUCCAAGGGUCCCGCCGAGAAGCCUGAAAUUACAGCCGGAGAGGAAGAACCGCAGCCCAUGGCGGUGUCGGAGAAGGAGGCCGCUGCGGUGGCAGGGCCCCCGGAUGAUCAUAUGGACGUGGAUAACGUGAGUCCGGCGACUGUUUUUUGUAUUAAGCUGAAGCAGCCGAGGUCUAAUUUGCUUCAUAAAAUGAGCGUUCCCGAGCUUUGUCGUUAUUUCAGGUGAGUGUUGUUAUGUUCAAUUAGUGAGCUUUAGUCGAAAUACGUGCGAAUUUUGAGGAAAUUGUUUGGUACUUUUGUUUCUUCGGUGGACAUUGUUGCUCGAGGGGAAUUUUGAGGCGCGGAAGUGAUACUUCUUCGGGUUGAUAAAAAUGUCGAAUUUUGGGUCCUAAGAAGGCAAAAUCUAGGCUAUUUGGCCUACUUGGUUAGCAUGGUAAAGAUUUAAUCUGGUUUCACAAUUACCUAAGUCAUGCUCUUUCUUCGAUUCUUUAUGAAGUUUCUCGUUGUUUUAUUUUAAUCUGCCACCGUGGUUACUAGUGGCUGGAUUGGUUCAGAUGUCAAGUUGAUAACUGUCAAAGCUGGAUUUUGGAACUAGAAAGGAAAACUAUUUGGUUGAUUUGUGUUUCAAAUUCAAAAUUAAGCAAACGAGUGCUUUUCUAAGUAGCAGGGCAAUCAGUGAAGAGCUUAAUAAAAGACUGUUCCAGAGUGAUGCAGGAUGUCUGCCUAAUUAAUCAGGAUAUGUUUUUGCUAUACUUUCUGCUAUUAUUGUUGCCAAUUAGGUUUAUUUGCUUGUUUACCAAGGUUCGCAUUGGUUGUCUUAUAUGGGUCUAAAUGGAUAAUUUUUAGAUUUUUUUGUUCUUUUUUUUGGGGGGGGGGGGGAGUUGGAUGGUUGAUGCUAUAGGUGGCAUCCAUUGCAUUUUUUAUAAUCAUCCAAUUGAAUUCCAUUUGAAUCUUUUUUCUAUAGAGAUUUUUUUGUUUUAAAAAACUAAACUUUAUCUUAAUGUAGAAGCCAAAACUGCAAUAAAGUGAAACUUUCCGACAGGUUCCUCAAGAGAACCUAAUUAGCCAGUGCAAUAUUAAUUUUAGGUUCCUUUUUCUUUUUUGUGGAUUUAUUGGUUCCUAGAUCCAACAGCAUGCUUGUGAAACAUUUUUAAUUGAACACUUACUCCUCAUUGUGAAGCUGGUUAUGUGUCUAAAGAAAGACUUCGAUUCACAUUAUGAAAAAAGAAUAAACGAGAGGAGGGCAUUCUGCCUUUUACUAAAUGUCAACAACGAUUAAGUUUUUACUAUUAGUGGUUUUGUUGCUGUCUGAUAAUUUCUUCACCUUAUUUUUGAUUAUUAACUUCUAUUGUUUUCUUUCCAGCGCUGUUGCUUGGUGCGGUAAGCUUAAUGCAAUAGCAUGUGCAUCGAAACUUGUGCCAGAAUCCCAAGGUUAGAACGCUCUUGUGAUUAUUACUUGUCUUUGUAUGUUAUUUUGGAUUCUAAAUAACUUCUCUAAUUAGACAUAUUUACUUGGAUAUGGAUGCAAUUCUUCUUCUUGCCUCAAAAGGAAGGGAAGAUGGAGUUUUAAACCAUCAGUUAGAAAUAUAGAUUGUUAAUCAACUGGCUUUCUUGUUUUUCAUGCUGCUUCCUUUUUUAGUGGAUGACAAAUUAUGUACCCAUCCUGCUCCUGGCUUCCUGGCAGCAAAAAAGAAAAAAAGUAAAAUAUGUGAACAAUUUGAUGAAAUUAAAAAUGAAAGUCUUUGCCAAUGAUUAAUGAGAUUAAAUGAGCCAAAAUCAGUGUGAAGAGAAUUUGAUUUUCAAUCUGUGUUGGAAAAGGUUUGAAAGCUUUUACUUCUAGUAAUAUGAUGCUAUUGCUAUUUUUCUGUGAGAGAAUCUUGCAGAGAUGCCCUUAUUUGCUCAUAGUUGUACAGUAGAUUUUGAAGAGGCUAUCCAUUCAUUAGGCAAACAAGUCAACUGCAAAUAAAUUUUUUUUCCUUGCUACAUGUGUGGAUUGUAAAAAGGGUUGAAUUGCUUGCACGGGAUAGAAAAGAAGAGACUAGCAAAACCAUCUUGGGGUGAUUGGGAUUUGUUAGAGAUUUGUUUUGUACUCAUAAUCAAUAUCUUUUCCGCAUCAUUUAUAUCUUACUCAAUUGUUAUUUUGUUUUCUGGUAGUUCAAACGCAAAUCCUCCAUUUUGGAUUCCUAUACAUAUAGUGAUCCCAGAGCGACCAACUGAGUGUGCAGUAUUCAAUGUUGUAGCAGGUACUAGACGUGACUUGCUGAGAUUACUUACCUUAUUUAUUGGACUUGGCAUUGUCAUUUCAAAUGAUUAUUUUGUGUAGUGCAACCUUUGGUCACUUUGCAUAUUGGGAUGCAGUCUGAUGCUACCCCUGGAUAUGGUUUGAGAUGAAGAAUUUUAGCAUGUUUGAUGUUUGAUUUGGUUUUUAAUUUUUGAAUGCUGUUCCUCAUUUCAGUUCUCAUAAUAUCUAGAACAAACUGAUCUUUUUAUAUCCUUUUGGAUCUAAAGGAAAUCUUUGAUCUGUGUGGUUUUUAGGCUGUGUUUGAUGGUAGAAGUAUUACAUUUCUUUUCAUUGUAUGUGAUCCUUUUGCUAUUAUUAGAUAUGUUACUAAUACUAUUUUCACACCAAAAAAUAAAUGCUUAGAAAUCAACUUGUUUCUUUGGAGAUAUCUGCAGAUUCUCCUCGAGACUUGGUUCAGUUUAUGGAAUGGUCUCCUACAUCCUGCCCUCGCUCGAGCUCAUAGCGAAUUUUCAUGGGAGGAUAACCAUCUGGACCCAACCUUCUCAAGUAAGAAAUUAUUUCUUAGCACAACAGAUCUAUUGCUUGCAUGGCUUCUAAUUUGCCACUAUCUGCCUGCUUUCAUUUGCAUCUCUGGUAUGUCAUUACAUUCUCGUUUUAAUUUUGUUAAUUCCCAAAUGCCUCAUGUUCUCAUCCACUUCACAUCUGGUUUGGUUCCUCAGGGUCCAGCCUGUAUAGUAAGAGAUGCUAGCAGCUGCAUCUGGAAUAUGAGUGGCGUCAGGAUAUAGCAGUAGCUACAAAAUGGUUGUCAGGUGUUUCUCCGGUAUGCUAUUUUUAUAUUGUUAAUUCUAAUUGAAAUUGUAUUUGCUCGUUUCUUUCUAUUGCAUUAAUUUUGUAUGCUAGGAAAUUAGUAUAGGUGGCUAUCAUCGAGAUCUGCUAAUUCAGGAAAGUCAACUUUUGAGGAAAAAUUCCUUUCCAGCAGCCAGAAGCUCCAGGUUUGUCACUCCUCUUUUUGCCAGUUCUUGUCUGUGGGUCUGUCUUAGACUUGUCUAUUAAUAUGUGGCUAUGUGCAUCACAACGUAAUAACCUUAUUUCUAUGCAUGUCAAGUUGUUUGUGUUAUGGUGUUUACAAUAUGGUGUUUGAACAGGAAGGAUGAACUUGUCUCGGCAUGUAGUGUUGUAGCCAUUUCUUCAAUCGCCAAACUUCUCUAUUACCUGUUGAAGCCCCAACACCUGUGAACUAUUUCUUUUGAUUGAGGGGUGGAAGCCCAACAAUAGAGAGAAUGGGAGAUAAUUUCCUCACAAGCGAAACUGAAUCCCUUGUGGGAUUGCAAAUGGUUUUCCUUUGCAAUACAGGGUCAAUAGUUGUUGAUGAGUCUUUGACAUCAUUAGCCCAAACAUCUUAAUGUGGAGCAAUGAUUUGGCUCACCAUUAAAGCUGCCAUUUCUUCUUUUUUUAGGCUACUCCUUUGAUUUUAAGAACUCAGUGAGAUGCUUUAACCGAAUGCAAUGUUUUCGGUUUUGAUGACAGCUGGUUGGCCAAAUUUCCUGUGUGUGUGCUCUGUCUUCUCAUCUGGAUCUGUUCAGCUCCAUUGGAGUCAGUGGCCGCCCACUCAAAGCGGUACACCAUCAAAGUGGUUUUGCACAAGCAAAGGGCUCUUGGGAGCUGGGCCGAGUGGCAUUAUGGCAGCUGAUGCUAUUAUAACAGAUUCUGGAGCCAUGCAUGUGGCAGGUGUUCCCAUUGUUAACCCAUCAACUGUUGUUGUUUGGGAGGUGACUGCUGGCCCUUGGAAUGGAUUUCAAGCUUCUCCAAAGGCUAGUGUAGGUAAUGGUGUUCCACCAUCAGUGAAUCCUCCUUCAUGGGAUGGUUUUGCCCCUUGGCUGCAUACCUGUUCAGUUGGCAGGAGUAUUUACUGCUAGAAGCUAAGCAAGGAAGAAAAUACACUGAGCAAGACUAUAAUGAGAUGGUGACACUUCAUUGUUCACCAGUUUCAAACUUUUCUGCAUAUGUCAGUCCUGAAGCUGCAGGGCAAUCUGCUUCUGCUACCACCACAUGGGGUUCUGGUGUCACUGCUGUCGCAUUUGAUCCAACUCGUGGUGGUUCUGUAAUAGCUGUCGUGAUAGUUGAAGGUAUUAAACUUAAUUCUUAUUUAAAUUGUCCUUUUUCCCUCAAGUAUAUCUCAUGUUAGAAUGCACUUUUUAUGGAUACUAAUAUUUUUCUUGUAUGUCCACUACUGUUGAGAAUGGAUGUCCUUGAAGCAUCUCAUGGUUAAGAUAGCUGCUAUGCUAUCUGCUUUUGCUAUUGUGGGUCAAUUAAUGAUAUUUUUGCAAGCAUUUUUAGGAUGAAUGUUUUUGGUCAUACAUUUAUUUUAACAUGUGAUUGUUGUUUGUAUUGUUUUUUCUCUUAUAAAUGACCACUACUGCCUAGAGAUUGGUGCUUUUAAACAUCUCAUGAUUAAGCUACUUUUGGUUGUCUGCUAUGAUAUACGCUUUCGCUGCUUAGGUUCAAUUGACAAAUAUUUUUUGCAUGCAAUUUAAGCAUGAUUGGUUUUUCUCCUGGUUGUUACAUUUAGGGUCCCAUGCUUGUUUUUGGUUACCAAUCUGCAAUCUGAUAAACAGAUUUUUUGCUUGGCCUCCUGCUUGGAAAUGAAUAUUUGGGAAAUCAUUAAAAUAUGCUUUAUACAGAGAGAGAGAGAGAGCAGGACUCUAUGUGUAAUUUUGGUGUUUGGAUUAAUAAUCUUAAUAGUUCAUGUAGUUGCUUACUUGUAGGUGCAUUUCAGUCUGCUGGCAUCAUGUAGUACAUCUACAGGAUUUGCAUCAUCUGAAUCACAUGAUUGAGUUGAUAAUAUAAUAUAAACAAGCUUUUUUUUUUUUUGUUUGAAAAAUAUCUUAAAUAUAAUUAUAGAGAGGUAUGGGUUCAUUGUGUAACAUUCUUGGUUCCAUUUUUAACUUUUCUGGCAUUAAGUGCAACUAUUAGAGAUUCAGGGGCUGAUUGUACACUUUCUUGGUUCCUUUUUAGCAUGUCAAUGGAAUGUACAAGAUGACCUGGCUCAUUUAUAAAUUUUCUGACAUUGACUGAUUAUCUAUUCUUAUUGCAACAGGGCAAUACAUGUCCCCAUAUGAUCCAGAUGAGGGUCCCUCGGUCACAGGAUGGAGAGUUCAACGUUGGGAGGCGACCGUUGAGAAUGUUGUCCUCCAUCCUAUAUUUGGAAAUCCUUCUUCGACUUUUGGUGGUGAGGCACCAAAGCAGACAGUCUGGGUGAACAAAGGAAUGAAGUGUACUCCAGCAACAAAUGAUUUCAGAAGUCCUCAAUCAGCUGCUGCUGUGCCUUCUCCUGAUGGAAGAAAUUCAUCUGACCCUGGUGUUGAGGUGACAAAAACAGUCGGUUUUGACCACUUUGAUUUGCCAAGUGAUGUUAGAACACUUGCUCGUAUUGUUUAUUCCUCUCAUGGUGGUGAGAUUGCGGUAGCUUUUCUACGAGGUGGCGUGAAUGUCUUCUCAGGUGCAAGCUUUACACAUGUUGAUAAGUACCAGAUUGAUGUUGGUGCUGCAAUUGCUGCUCCUGCCUUCUCUUCUACUAGUUGUUGUUCAGCUUCUGUCUGGCAUGAUACAAGCAAGGAUUGCACCAUGUUGAAAAUCAUUCGUGUUCUUCCUCCUGCUACUUCAAGUAGUCAACUUAAAGCUAACUCUGUGACCUGGGAACGAGCAAUUGCUGAGAGGUACAUUGGAUAAACAACUUUUUUUGCAUAUCAUAAGACUGUUAGUUUAGUGGAUAUUAUCAUUGAUUCAUAUUAUUCUUCUCUUGCAUCUGUGUCUUUGGAGUUAACUUAGAAUUUUUUUGCUGAAUAGUUUCAUCCUUAAUCAAUAAGCCAUGACAUCUCUUAUCUUGGCAGAUUUUGGUGGAGUCUUUUAGUGGGGGUUGACUGGUGGGAUGCUGUAGGCUGCACUCAAAGUGCAGCUGAGGAUGGAAUUGGUAAUAAUUUUUCAGCAUGCCUAGCAUGUGAAUUCUUUAUGCUGUUUUAAAGCUAACUUUGCAAAUUUUGAAGACUUGGCUACUGACAGAGAUGAGCUAAGACAAAACUUUAUGCGUCUCUAAUGCAAAAUUUUAUUGCUGAGAUUGUAUUGCAUCAGAUCAUGGUGUAACAUCCUGAUGGGAAUUGCAAACAGACUGAUUUGGAUGCUUUAUUUUCUUUUGAACUGCAGACUUGCUGUUCUUAUAUGUUGGCUAUAUUUUGUUGAAUCAAAUAAGGAUACCCUGUUUAUUGUUGGUCUCUUGAUACAGUAAUUUAACUCUAUAUGUUUCCUUAAAUUGUUAAAAAUUGAGCCAAGCGGGUCCCCCAUGAUGAUGUAUGAUUAACAUGCUUUGGUGGUGUAUUAUUAAGAUGCUCUUAUCUACAACUUAAAAUGAAAGAUGAGGAGUUGCUAUUUAGGUGGCGGAAAUUGGAAUUAGUAGAAGGGAAGUGUUUCUUUCCUUGUAUUCAAAUUGAUAGGAUAUGAUGAUUUUUUUUGGUUUUUUUUGGGGGGGGGGCUUGGUUUGUUAUUUUCAGAUGAAAGAUCCAUGAAACUUCAAGCAUACAAUGAGAGAUUCCCUUUGUUUUUUUGGUGUUUCAGAUUGCACUGGUAUUGUGUAAAGAUAUUUUAUUAGUUUGUCUAGGCAAACAAAGAUCAGAGAGAUCUAGUAUAUACCACUUAUUUGAAAAUGUUAAAAGCUGGAAAGCAAAAGAGAGAUUAUGGAGAUGACUGGAAGCCAUUGUUCGAGCUCGAGCCAAUGAACAUUUGUCUCUCUGUGUUUCUCUUUCUAGAUUUUGUAACUUGGUUCUCUGUACCAUUUAUUAGCGCCUCUUUUGGUAAUAACUUUUUCUCUGCUGCAGUGUCAUUGAACAGUGUUAUUGCUGUGUUGGAUGCUGAUUUCCACUCUCUUCCUUCCACUCACCACCGACAGCAAUAUGGACCUGUAUGUUUCAUAAUUUUGAUACUGGUGCAUGUUAUAUUCAGCUAAAGUAUUUUCCUAUUCUGUGUAUUUAAGUAACGUGCUCUUUGCAUGCUUUUUUGGACAAAAGAUGAUCACUUAAUAAAUGUCUUUAAUGAUAUCCAGAAAGUCAUAUCUUUCUACAUAUGCAUGAAACACACUUUAAAUGAUUUAUUAAAUUUGAAAUGUGAUGUUAAAUUUCCAGGAUCCCUAUCUUUGAAGUAAAUCUGAUUUGAUUGAUGCAGAGUCUAGACAGGAUCAAAUGUAGGCUUCUAGAAGGUACAAAUGCACAAGAAGUCAGGGCAAUGGUACUUGACAUGCAAGCAAGGUUGUUGCUAGAUAUGCUUGGCAAAGGUAUUGAAUCGGCUUUAGUAAAUCCUUCAGCUUGCUAUCUGAACCGUGGCAUGCAUCUGGUGAGGCAUUAUCUGUUUUAGAUCCUGAGGCAAUGGCUGUUGAACCAGCACUCGUCCCAAUCAUCCAGGUUUGCAUGACACAUUUUGCAGUUCAAUGACAGUAUGGUUAUCCCGAAGCUUUUCCCUAAUCACUGAAUGAUAUCCAUGUAGGCUUAUGUGGAUGCAGUACUUGAUCUUGCAUCCACUUCAUCACGCGGUUGCGGCGUUAUGCUAGUUUCUGCCGUACAUUGGCAAGUCAUGCUGUUACUGCUGGCACUGGAGGGAGCCGGAAUAUUGGUAACUAGUCCCACCAAAGUUCUGCUUCUCCUACUGCGACUCAGGGUGAGAGAAUUUUUCUUCUUCGGUUCCAAAAAAUUUUCCCUCUUGUUUCUCCUAUUAUAUUUCCUUAUGUGAUACCUGUUGGAUGAGUAUCUUAGGCAUCCCAUCUGCAUAUGUUGAAUUUCCUUGUCCAGGAGCUCAGGGUGGCACUGCUAGUUCCACUGGAGUACCCAGAUGCAAGCUUGGGUUCAAGGAGCCAUUGCAAAGAUUAGUAGUACUGCUGAUACAGUACCAAAUUCAGCCCCAAAUCCCAUAAGUGGCCCUUCAAGUUUUAUGCCUAUAAGUAUAAAGGCACUUUCCCAGGAACAGCUGUUAGGCUUAUUGGAGACUGCCAUUUCCUUCACCGAUUGUGUCAACUUUUGCUUUUCUGCUUUUUGUUUUGGCGAACACAAGUACCACGUUUGUAUGGCAGUUCUCAAAGAAAUGCUGAUUCAGCUGCACAAAAACCUCAGCCUAAUAAUUCAGGCAGAGUAGAAGAAUAACUCUGUCCCUGCGAAACCAGGGUCAGCGAUGAUUAGAGGAGAAGAAGCACAGGGUCCACGAGCUGGCCAGUUGGCUGCAGCAGCAAAAGGACCGGAAGAAGUUCCAUCCAGCCGGUCAAGGCUGGGUUCUGGCAAUGCGGGUCAAGGAUAUACAUUUGAGGAGGUAAAGACAUUCAAUUUUUUACUGAAACAAAUGAAGACCUAUAAUUGGCCUUGCCAUUUAUUGCCUAAUUUUGUUUCUGUUAUGAUUAAGAAAUAGAGGAGUCUUAGUUGAGUGGUAUGCUUCAGACCUGCUUUUGUCUUAAAGUUGAUACACACCAUCUCCUCACAUCUUUUGUAGAACUAUUAAUUUGAACCUUGGAGAAGUUAAAUUAAGAAUUUGUUUGUAAUGAAUACAGGCAAGUUGGGGAAUUAAGUUGUUACUUGGAUGGCGUCUCUUGGAGUUUGCUUGAUUUAGUCCUAAGAUCAUUUUUUGACUUCAGCCUCAUAAUUUUCUAACCAUAUACACCUCUUUUGCUCAUUCAGAAUGUGGGAUAAGAUUCUAAAGUGGUUUUCAUGUAUCUUCUGGAGUAUGUUAUGUACUGUUGGGCUUUAUGGAAGUAAUGUGAGAUGCAAAAGAUAACUUGGGGUUAAGAAUGUCUAAAGCUGUAAUCUUGGAGGGCCUAUUUUCUCUGUGAAGAAAUGCAAAGAUUUGUUACUUUCCCUGUGUGGACUGAUUUUGAUGCCUCUUGCAGGUGAGGGUACUUUUUCGCAUACUGAUGGAUCUCUGCAGGCGAACAGCAGGUCUAGCACAUCCAUUACCUGUUUCUCAGGUUGGGAGUAGCAACAUUCAGGUUCGGCUUCAUUACAUUGAUGGGAACUACACUGUUCUGCCAGAGGUCGUGGAGGCAUCUCUUGGUCCACAUAUGCAGGUAUUUCUUAGCAGUUUUUGAAAAUGAUGAAAGCUGUUAUAUUCUGCUUUCAUUCUUCUUGCUGACUGUUCCAUUCAUAAAAUAAAUGCCUUGUCGCAUUACUGCAGAUGGAAAAUUUUUUCAUCUCUCUCUCUCUCUCUCUUUUUUUUUUUUUUUAAAAGAAACUUUGGCAGUUCCUUAUGGCCAAUAUCUAAUGUGGUUGCGAACAUCCAAGAAAAUUGCCUCAUUUGAUAAUUAUCUUAAAUACAAGAAACUUCUAAAAACCUUAGUUAUUUAAGCUCAUGUCAUGUAACAUUGAUGUAACUAUUUCCGGAAUAAAAACAUCUAAAGUACUCUCACAUAUUGUUUUUGUCGGCUGUUUGCAGUUUAUGCCACGUCCCAGAGGUGCUGAUGCUGCAGGUUUGCUACUGCGUGAGUUGGAACUUCAUCCUCCUGCUGAAGAAUGGCACCGGAAGAACAUGUUUGGUGGCCCAUGGUCUGAUCCUGAGGAUAUUGGUCCUGUCAAUGAUAGUGUAAGGCUAAGCCCUUCAGCAGAUUUACAUGAUGGGACCUCAUCAGAAAACUGUGAUGUCUAUUAUGGAGCCCAUGGCUUGUGGCCAAGGAAGCGCAGGAUGUCUGAAAGGGAUGCUGCUUUUGGGUUAAACACUUCAGUGGGUCUUGGAGCGUAUCUUGGUAUAAUGGGAUCUCGUAGGGAUGUUGUAACGGCUGUUUGGAAAACUGGACUUGAAGGAGUUUGGUACAAGGUUUGUCUUACAUUUAGUAGGACUUUUUCUUUGUCAUCUAUGUCUUUCAUUCCUAAAGUUAUACGUCACUUCAUCCUUUUUUGGGAUUUCCUUGCAACCUCAGAUCAAUAUUUUACUGUUAAGUCUGUAGUCUUAGAUGUUUCCAGAGAGUCCAAACAUAAUGACUAAAACAAAGUUUUACACCUCUGAUCAAGAGUUCAACUGUUAAACUGAUGAAACAUUUGAUGUAGUGUCUAAUUUGCUCAGUCCAGUGGUUUAAUUUUGUGAUAGUUACAAAUUCAGUUACGAGCUUUCUUUGUGAUGCAAUGCUUGACAGUCAUCAUCUCAGACAGUUGACUCUCAAUCUUUGUUAUCAUUGACUUUAUUAAUUUCCCCUAAUUUAUGUGUUCGAGUUGUUUGGGGUGGAAAGCUUGCUAUAUUGUGUUAUUUUAGCUUUAAAAUCCAUUCCACCCAGGCCUCGCUACCCAAUAUACGGGAAACAAAUGAGAGCAAACCAUCAAUUCAAAACUGUAUUCAGACUGGGUCUAAAUUUCAAUGUUAUUAUUAUAUUUUCUUUUAUUCUGAAGUGACUAUUGUUAUCAUGCAGUGUAUAAGAUGCUUGCGGCAGACAUCAGCUUUUGAUCUACCACGUGCUACCUCCACUGGUAAUCAGAAUGAGAGGGCAGUUUGGUGGAUCAGCCGAUGGGCACAUGGCUGCAAUGUGUGGUGGAACAUGGGUCCGAGUUGUAUAGCUCUUUCAAGCAACCUGCUCGUAGUUAUGUACAGAUUUGAUGAGUUGUUGUGACGCUUGGCCAUCUGCAUCCUGUAUUGCUUUAUCAUGGGCUCAGCUGACGGAUUGUGGUUUUAAGUGGCAUUAAUUUGGUUGUAGGAUUCUCAGCAUAAUACAACUGCUGCUUAAAAGUGGAAUUUUUCUUGUUGGGGAACAGUUCCAAGUUUAUCACGUCCUGCGGGAAAGGAAAUGAAUUUGGAGGGGAAUACUCAUUGGUCAAAUCAGAUGGGAAGUAAGUUCACUCUUUCCCAAUAUACCAUGGAGUAUUCUAGAAACGAAAGACUUGCAUAGAUUCCAAGUAGGAUGAAUUUCAGAACUGUGGAGCCCUAGUCGUUUGUGAGUUCGCCUUAUGACUAAUUCUAAGAGCUGCUCGCUGAUGAUAUCGAAGACAAUUUUUCUUGAGUUUCUGAAAUCCUUUCGGAUGUCCGGGGGUGAUAAGAUGACACUAUUUACUUGUACAGAAUGUUACAAAGGGCUAGGAUUUCUUGGUUUGUGGUGGCAGUAACUACCCUGAGAAGCCUGUCAAAGAUCUGUGGUGCUAAGUUAUGGCAGGGUCUGGAGCUUGUGAUGUUCUGCGGCUUCGGCCUUCGCAUCUAUUUUUCGCUUAUGCAGCUGUCUAUUCGCAUCUAUUCUUUGGAAGGUGCCUUGUGAAGAGUUCAUAGUUUUUUUCUGGUAUUUCUGCCAUUUUAUCAUUUACUUGAGGGGCAUUUCCAGCGGUGACCUUAUUAUGUAUAGUAUCUGAAAUGCUAUUUGAAAUGUACCAUUGUACAUCGUUAUACUUCUUUAAUGCCUUCUUUCUUAAAUUUUAAGUCGGUAAAGUUGCAGUAAAUGUAUCUUCUCUAGACCUAUUUAAUUUCUAUGUCUAUACUAUUAUUCUUCGAAAACAGAUAAUGAUUAGUACUUAAUUUUCUUGAUUCAUCAUAUACUGCUGUCGUUUAGUUUUCUAAGAUCAAAAGUGCACUUAGUAUUAUUAUUAUUAGGAUUAUUAUGAUGUUGAAUUAGAACUUAUGAGUAUUUUAGUUUUCUAACUUUUAUUUCAAAAAUUUUUGCUCGUAUAUUCUUGCAGAAAAGGUAAAGGAUAUGCAAAUAAGUUUUCUUGUGUGUGUGUGUGUGUGAUAAUUAAAAGAUGCAUCUCCAUAAAAUCACCUGAUCAUGUAAGAUGAGGAAUAUUUAAAUUCUCGUAUUUUAGGCCAUUCUUGUAAAGUUCAAUAUGUGUAUUUACUAAAUUGUACAGCUCAAGGUGUUUAAGGUCAAUUUCUUCCAUCCCAUAUGGGUCUUACAUUUUCACCAAAUUCUCCAUCCCCUUUCUCCCACGUCGAUUUAGCAGAGAGUCGAGUCACGUGUUUAAGGUCCAUUGAGGUUCCUUUCAAUCAGCAAUUGCUUGGACGUGAGACGUCGGUUUAGCAGAGAGUCGAGUCACGUGUUUAAGGUCCAUUGAGGUUCCUUUCAAUCAGCAAUUGCUUGGACGUUGGAGUCACGUGUGAGUGUUUUUAUUAAAUAACUUCUCAACUCUUUGUUGAGAAAAAAAAUUGCACAGCUUGUUUUUUAUAUCAAUUAAAUUAUAUUUCUAACGUUUUUGUAAAAAAAAAAAAAAUAAUAAUAAUAAAAAUAAUCUCCCGAUCGUUAUUAGACGGCUGCCUCGAGCAAGUCAUUUACUAUUUCGGUGGUUCAGGACUGCAGCGCUGCAGUCGUAAAUAGUAUGUGAAAUAAAACAUCAAAAUCGAACAUUAAGAAGUGAAGCAACCGCAUGUAAGUGGUGGCGCAGCUGAGUAGUGAUGCGCUGCUCGCUCUUGUUGUGGAGUGUGGUGGUGUAAUCAAUCCGCGCGUUCUUGCAGUGGCUGACAACAAGGAGAAAUGAGCAGUUCACAAGCUUCUCAUUCCCUGGCAUUUAGGGUGAUGAGACUAUGCAGGCCGUCUCUCCACGUCGAAACCCCUCUCAAAUUCGACCCCUGCGAUCUCCUCUUCGGCGAAGACCUCUUCGACCACCCUCCUGCCGCCGCUCACCUCCCUCGUCUCCUCUCCGACUUCGCCGACUCUUCUUCUUCCGAUCUCACUUAUCGCUCCCGAUUCCUUCUCUCCCACCCUUCCGACUCCCUCGGCCUCUCUGCUCUCCUCGUCCUCCCCCAGUCCUUUGGGUAAACCCCUUGACUUCCUUUGCCUUAUCUUCCCCUUUUUCUGGUACAGAUUUUGUAUUUUAUUUGUUCUCUUUAUGGUUUAUUCUGUAGGGCAAUAUAUUUGGGAGAGACAUUUUGCAGUUAUAUUAGUAUAAAUAACAGCUCGAAUUUUGAAGUCAGGGAUGUUAUCAUCAAGGUUAGAUUUGUUUAUUAGUUAAUCUUCUUCUUUCUUUCUUUCUUUCUUUUGGUUCUAUUAAUUUGUUCAGUUGAUGUCAUUUGCAACUUUUACUUUAUUUUAAUGAUCUUUUUGCACCCACAAAAAAAUUAGUAGAAAGCAAAAAGGAGUGUGAUGGGCUUGUAACAUUUUACUAUGGCUCUAAUAUGGAGUAAAAUUACUCCACAUAUGACUUUAAUAUGUUAUAGAUAACAUUAAAUGUAUGCAGCAAAAUGGCCAGCCUAAAGGAAAGAAAUACAAGUGUAAUGGACAAAAUUUCAUGAGAAUUAGUGGACUGUUUACUAUACUAAAAAGGACAUCUGAGGCAAGUUUUUCAGAACUCCUCUUAGGGAGCUAUGAACAUAGAGAAAAUUGGGGAGAGAGUGCUAAGUCAAAGAGUUGAGGUUGUAAGCUCAUGCUAAGGCUAUCUUAGGAAGAUCUGAUGGCAAUUUCUCUAGAGUUUGAUUGAAUCAGAUAUUACUAAAGAGUAUGAGAAUUUGACCACCCCCAAAAAAAAAACAUGUGCUUGGAUAGACGAUUAUUCAGAGAAGUUUUUGGAGUAAUUACUGUAUCACUUUUUAAAAUGUAAUUUAUGUGAGAAAAGUGGAUAGUUGGAAGAUAAAAUGGUGAUCAGAAAUUGUGUUUGUGAUGAAAGCAAAUAAUGGCCAAUCCAAACAAAUAAUGCUAUUUGCUUUGUUUAUUUGGUCCUCAUGAUUUGGAAGUGAUACAUGGAUCUUCACAGGCAGAAGUCCAGACAGAGAGACAGAGGAUACUGCUCUUAGAUACAUCAAAAUCACCUGUAGAAUCCAUACGUGCUGGAGGGCGUUAUGAUUUCAUUGUGGAACAUGACGUAAAAGAACUUGGUGCACAUACGUGAGUUCCAUGUUUCCAUCAUCAACUUAAAUUUAAUAUACACAGUUUGCCUCGAGUAGUAUCCUAAUUUGGCUUUGUCUGUGCGGUGCAAUAUUGACAGGUUGGUUUGUACAGCUCUUUACAGUGAUGGUGAUGGGGAGCGUAAAUAUCUUCCUCAGUUUUUCAAAUUCAUUGUUGCAAAUCCACUUUCAGUCAGAACAAAGGUACCAAUGCUCCCAAGUCCUCGUUGUUCACAAUUUAAACAAUUUUAGGUGACUGGAAUGUAGCUUACAUAUCUACGAAACAUUUCACAGCUAAAAUUUUUCAGUUACAAUGAUUGCUGUGUUUUGGCUGCUUUAAAAUUUUUUACCUGCAGGUUAUCAUUACUCUCUCUUGCUUGUUCUAGCCAAACAUUUUGCUCAUUUCUAUCCUUCUUUUGCUUUUGUGCAGGUUCGGGUUGUCAAGGUACAUUGAAGUUUUGUUUAUGUUCAUGAUCCUUCAUACGUAUUUACAUAAUAAGUUGCAUUUAACCUCUUUGAAUUGUUAACUAAGUAUAUUCUCAGCUUUCUUUCAGUGGCAUGAAUCAGUGAAGGGUCAAAAUUGUAAUGCUAACUUUAUUACAAUGCUUUCAAAUGCCUUUUGUAUCAGGAAACUACUUUUUUGGAGGCUUGUAUAGAAAAUCAUACCAAAUCAAAUCUCUUUAUGGACCAAGUAGAGUUUGAGCCAGCUCAAUACUGGAGUGCUACAUUACUUCAGGCUGAUGAUAAUUGUUCAGAAAAUGAUUCGUUAACUAGGUAAGUAGAUUGUGCAUGCUAUAUGCUGUAGUUGCUGAAGCUAGAGAUGUGUCAAAUGUUGUUUAAUUUUGCCCUUUCUAUUAGUGUAUUUGAACAUCAAGUUCUAAUUUCUUCUGAUAGGGAAUUAUUUAAGCCACCUACACUUAUCAGAUCUGGAGGAGGAAUUCACAACUAUCUGUAUCAAUUGAAAUCAUCCAUACAGGGACAGCCACAAAUGAAAGUUGAGGGAAGUAAUGUCCUUGGCAAAUUUCAGAUAACAUGGCGAACAAAUCUGGGUGAGCCUGGUCGCCUGCAGACGCAACAGAUUCUUGGUAGCGUAAGUGAUUUCCACUCAUAUCAGUUAAAAUUUAGGUUAACACAUGCCUAGAUUUUGCAAGCAAAGGGGGGUUACUGAUCACUGUUUAGAUGUAACUUAUCCGAGAGAUGAUGGUGUCACAAAUGAAUUUUACGCUCUGCAGCUUGCCAAUAUCUACUUAUCACAUCUUACUGGGUAUCUUGUGGUGAAUAAAAGGAGAGAUCUGCUGCAAGAAUAGAAAUAGGAAAACUUCCAAAGCUUGUAUUUAUUUUUUACUUGUUAAAAAGAGAUUCUUGGCAUCUUUGAGUCUUAGAGUUACGUCUGACUUAGACCUGUAGGUACAUAUUUUACCUAUUGAUAUAAAGUUUAUCUUCUUAGGUCUCUGAUAUUUUAUCUGCUUUCAGCCUGUAGUACACAAAGAUAUUGAGUUGCAGGCUGUGGAGGUACCAUCUCUUGUCAUCUUCGAGAAGCCCUUCUUGGUAACUUUCAUUUAUUUAAGCAAAUAGGACUAGGGGGGUCAAAUUAUAACUUGCUGUAUUCAUUAUUCUUCUCUUUGUCCUCCUAUGAUCCUUUUUUUUUUCUCUUACAGUUGCGCUUAAAUCUCACAAAUCAGACAGAUAGGAUACUAGGCCCCUUUCAAGUUUGGUUGUCGCAAAGUGAUUCUUUUGAUGAGAAGGCUGUUUUGGUCAAUGGCCUUCAGAUGAUGGUGAGACAUAAAAAUGGCUAGCAGUAAACUUUGCUUUUGGGUUUUGUUAAGAUGCUAGUUUAAUCUUAUUCUUCCAGCAUUCUCUUGAAUACUAUAUUCCACUGUUCCUGGUUGUUUGGAAGGGUUUGAUUAAACAUCUAAGAGACUUAGGUAUGUAGUUAUCACUUCAUAGUAGGCUUUAACUGACAAUGAUAUUUGAAGCUUUGCAAGUCCAUCCUAUGAAGCUUACUUUGUCCAUUGGAUCCUCUUAACUUUUACGCAUCAUUGCAGCCUUUGGCGGAGGUGGAAGCAUCGAGUUCUUCUGAAUUCCAACUGGUAAGAAGAGUCUUCUGCAACAUUUUUCUUGACCAUAUUAGUUUGAAGAUUCAACUUUUGCUAAGUGAAAUGCAAAAUAAUAUCUCAACCUUGAAAGUUUGGAAUUUUUACUUUCUAAUGGUCAGAAAUUAAAUGUUGUGCAUGGCUGUUAUUGGGAAGUAUAGCUUCAGUUCUUGCAAAGCAGGACUUUUAAUUUCUAUGGGGAUAAAUGUCGACUGAUGGAUGUUUAAAAAAUCAGAGUAAAAAGUGUCCAAGUUGCUAGCUAUAACUUGAUUUAAUCUGCCAAAGCUGAAGAGAACCGACGUAUUAGAAGAUUGUAUUUCUGUGCUUAUUUCCUCCUCCUUUCUCUCUUUCUUUUGUUAGGUUAUAGUCUUAGUUUCUCAAAACCCCCCGCUAGUAUGUGGAAGGCACUGUUGACUAUGCACGUUGUUAGUUGUAUCGAAUCUAGUAAUCAUUGAAAUUGCUAUGAUUGGGCAAGUACGUGCAACUGAUGAUUUUUUCAAGCUUGGGACUUUAUAGUAGUUACUCGACUGUUACUGCAAUUGCUUGCCAUAAUUCUUGGUCCUUUUGCUUUCAGAACUUAAUAGCAACAAAGCGCGGAAUUCAGAAAAUCACUGGAAUUACUGUGUUUGACACACGGAGAAGAAAACUUACGAGUCCUUGCUAGAACUAGAGGUUAGUAUUCUAUCAAUACUUUGGCUGCAACUUUGACUGAACUUGGGAGGCAAAUGCUAAGAUUGCUUUUUACUGACCUUGAUUUGGCAAUAGGAUGAUUAUAUAUAUAUAUAUAUAAUUUUAAUAUUCCAAGAACCUACGAACAGGUUAUUUGAUCUUAACUCUGUCAGUGGAAGGAAAAACCCAUGUUGUGUUAGUCGGACUAAAGAAAUUAGCAAGUAUGAUGGGAUAGAGAGAGAGAAAAGUGAUGACAUUUCAUUACCAGAUCACAUCCUUUUUAAAGAUCAGAUCAUGGACUUUCAAGUCAGAUUGAAAACACAAUUUAUGUGGGGUGGCUACUAUAGUUGCUGAUGGGUUUUUAAUCUGACGUGUUUGGGGUUAUUGUGCAGAUAUUCGUGGAUUCAGACUACACCUGAGCUCUGUGCCUCCGGUUUGUUCACAGGAUGUGCUCUAACUUGCGUUGUGAGCUUUCAUGAGAGCUCUGCUUGGUAUAUUGUGCCCUUUGACUCAGCGAGCUCGUCGGACUAUGAGGCCCGGAUGCUACACCAUUUCGGAGCUGAUGCCUAUUUAUGAUUGGCCCGGUGAACUUUGUGACCUUCCGUUUGAAGCAUUGUAGUGGAUGAAGGAAAUGAUCUUCUUGACAAGAAAUGUCUUCACCAGUCGUAACUGUAUACCACAUUCUACAUGGAUUUUGCUUCUUUGCUUGUAUACUAGUUUAGAAAAAAAUAAUAUAACGUCAAUUGACUCUGGACAUUUUUUUGUCUCCCUUUCUCCUUUUACAAGAUCAAUAUGUUCCUGUAAGAACUUCUCCAUUUUUUGUUUAAUUCUUUUCCAUCUUGCUUUACACUUCUUUACACACACUAUUAAUUUGGUGUAUCGUACAUUUCUUAUUUUAACAUCCUUUAUGUGUUGGAUUUAAUAUGUUACAGAGUGUGAGUGUUACCUUUAUUAUGAUAAAAAAUUUUACUACUUUAUAUUUCGGUUUUUGAUUUUCAACUUUUUGGUCAAUAUCGAUUGGAGCAAAUUACUUGAGUAACCAUACAGAGUUAACUAUGAAGAGUUAUUUGCCUAAAUAACUCCCUUCACAAAAAAUAUUCCCAAAAUGAUUCAAUUUCAUACUUUAUUCUCAUAACAACUUUUUUUGUUAUCCAUCAGAUCAAAUUCAAAUGGAAAUGAGAAAAAGGGUAAAACCCUUCAUUAGCCAUUAAUAUAGUCCAAAAAUCACCCACAUGACUAUAGUAUUCUACUCAGAAUUUAGCUUCUCUUUUUUUACUAUAAUAUCAUACUUUGACUUUACUUGUCACUCUAUUGUCCAAAAAAGUCUUGAAUACUUAACAUAAUCUGGCGAUAUUUCUAAACAUGAGAGCAAAAGUCUUGAAUAUUUAAAUAAAUUGACAAUAUUUUCAAAGAUGAGAGCAAAAUCUAAAAUUUGACUGUUCAUCUUUGUUCCAGUUGCAGCAAUUUUCUCUUUGUGAUGCUAUCCUUCUUAUUAAAAAAUAAUAAUAAAAGAAAAACUCAAUACAAAUCUAGGGAAACUGGAAUUAUCACUAAGCAUGAAAGCAAAAUCUAGAAUUUUGAUUGUUCACCUCCAUUCCAGUUGCGGUAAUUUUCUCUUUUUGAUGCUCUCUUUCCUAUUAAAAAUAAAAAAGAAAAAAAAUAGGAAAAACUCACUACAAAUCUAGCAAAAUUGGAAUUAUUAGUAUGUUUAUACAAAAAAAUUCAUCACUUGUUAAUUCAAAAUUUUCCGUCACUCUCUCCAUUCAAUCAAUCAAUCGUACAAAAAUUAGUUUUGAUUUUGUCAUGCUACAUUGAACGGGAACUCAUUGUGCAUGUGGCUAUAUGGGAGGAAUAGCAUGUAGGGCUGAGGAAAACAGUCUUAUGCUUUUUAUUUGGAAUCGAUACUCGUCGGUCCGGAGCCUCCUAUGUUAAUAAUGAUGGUAACGAGAAUUUGAUUGAGUUUGAAGAAUUUGAUUUAGAAAGCAUGGAGGACGCUGCUCCUUGUUAGGGGAUAAGGUCAGAAGAUUAGAUUAGUAAUAAAAUUUGGAGUUGAAUCAUUGUAGGAAUAUUUUUGAAAAAAAAAGGUUAUUUUGGCAAAAAACUCUAACUAUGAAAGGGACCAAAAUUUAUACAUUUGAUAGUUUACUGGGUGAUUAGAACUUGGCAAUUGAGAUUGUUUUAUGCUUCUUAACGUGAUAAUGCAUGAUUCAAAAAGGGCUUUAUUUGGAAUAUUAAAGUUGUCCUGAUUUUUAUAUACAUUUCAUCCAUUGUAUGUAAUCAAAUUAAUGAGAGUAAUAUACAUAUAGUAACAUAUAUAUAAGAAAGUAAAUUAACUAUUAAUGCUUUAAAAGUAUCACCUAAUUUUAUCUUUUUAUUAAAAAUAAAACAUUGGACCGAUUUGUUGAUUUGAGCACCAAAUAAACAGACUCAGCUGAAAUGGGACUAUUGUAAUUCCUUCAAUGCUGUACAAUUAAUACGGGAAAUGACGAUAGAGUUGGCAACCCUAAAACUUGAGCUUAAAUUUGUCUAACAUCUACUAACACUACUAAUAGUUCUCAUAUUUAGUUGGGCGACUUAAAUCUUGCAACUGGGAUGAAAAUACAAAUACAAGAAGAGUACCAUUCCUGCCAUUGCUCGAUAACAUCGUUCCAUAAUUCCUGAAGUCUGUAGUCACCCUCCCAGAAAAAUAUCAUCUUCAGUACUUGACAAAAAUAGCCAAAAUUGCUGUUAACUUGGCCCCAAAACUACCUCACGUUCUCCUCCAAGAAAAAUUUGUUUCUCUAUUGAAAUCAUGUAAGAAAGCCAGGCAAGUCAAAGCAAUACAGACCCAGAUUAUAACUCACGCUCUUGACCCCAGCAACCAAUAUACAAUCCCAACUUUACUCUCAAAAUGCUUUGUUAUAAACCAAGUCUCGUAUGCCCACACGGUGUUCGAUAGAAUUCGUAGCAGAAAUGCCUCCGUGUACAAUGCAAUGUUCAAAGGCUAUCUGGACUAUGAGAUGUUCAAUGAAGUAAUAUUGUUGUUCAAUGAUAUGAUUCGCGAAAAUGUUAGUCCUAAUGGUUACACAUUUCCAAUGGUGCUUAAAUCUUGCCUGAGACUAAUGGCCUUAAAAGAAGGCGAGAUGGUGCAUUCUUUGGUGUUGAAAUUUGGGUUUAAGUCAAAUACCUAUGUCGGUUCUACUUUGAUUGAAAUGUACGCGAGGCAGGCCAAGUAAGCUGCGCCUGCAGAGUGUUUGCUGAGAUGGUUUUGAGGAAUGUUGUUACAUGGACUUCAAUGAUCAAUGGUUUUGUUUUGAAUGGCGAUUUGUUUUCCGCAAGGAGGCUCUUUGAUUUGGCACCCGAGCGGGAUGUUGUGUUGUGGAAUACUAUGUUGUUAGGUUACAUUGAGCACGUGGAUAUGGCGGAGGCUAGAAAGCUUUUUGAUGUGAUGCCCAAUAAGGACUUGAUGUCUUGGAAUACCAUGUUAAAUGGCUAUGCGAAUAAUGGGGAUGUUGAACGGUGUGAAGAACUCUUUGAAGAGAUGCCAACAGAGAAAUAUCUUCUCAUGGAAUGGGUGAUUGGAGGGUAUGCCAUAAUGGACGGUUUGUUGAAGUCCUUGGAACAUUCAAAAGGAUGCUAAAUGAGUCCGAUGUGCAGCCUACUGAUGCCACGCUUGUGAAUGUGUUGUCAGCUUGUGCAAGGUUAGGUGCACUUGAUUUGGGCAAGUGGGUUCAUGUAUAUGCUGAGAGUAAUGGGUACAAGGAUAACCUUUAUGUUUGUAAUGGUUUAAUUGAUUUGUAUGCCAAGUGCGGAUGAUAGAAAGUGCAAUCAAUGUUUUUAGGAACAUGGGAAGAAAAGAUUUGAUAUCCUGGAACACAAUUAUUAAUGGCUUAGCAGUACAUGGUCAUGGAGCUUAUGCUUUAAAGUUGUUUAGUGAGAUGAAACUUGAAGGAAAAACCAGACGCAAUUACUUUUAUAGGUAUUUUAUGUGCUUGUUCUCAUAUGGGUUUAGUUGAUGAAGGAUUUCAGUAUUUUCAGUCAAUGGUUGAUGAGUACUCAAUUGCGCCACAAAUUGUGCAUUAUGGUUGCAUUGUUGAUCUACUAGGUCGUGCUGGACUUCUGGAGCAGGCUGUGGAUUUUGUGAACAAAAUGCCAGUAAAAGCAGAUGCUGUGAUUUGGACCACUUUACUUGGUGCUUGUAGAGUUCACAAGAAUGUUGAAAUUGCUGAACUAGCUCUUCAAAACUUAUCCAGAUUGAGCCUAAAAUCCAUCAAACUAUGUGAUGCUGGGAAACAUUUAUCGAGCUGCUAAAAUAUGGAAAGAUGUUGCACGACUUAAAGUUGCAGAGAGGGAUACUGGAUCUAGGAAAUUGCCAGGUUGCAGCUCAGUUGAAGUUGAGGAUGGAGUGGUUGAGUUCUACUCAUUUGACGAAAGGCAUUCUAGCUCAGAGGAGAUAUAUGAUGCCCUGAGAGGAUUGAUGAAUGUGUUGCUAUCAGAUGGAUAUGUCCCAGAUUUUGUGGAGCUUGGUCAGGGAAUCUAGAGAAGUGAAACAAAAUUUGUGUAUUGAGUACCUUUUUUGUGUUGAUGUACAGUUCGAUGCUUUUAACCAAGACCGAGGACAUAUACGAUAUAACAUGCCAUGUGAGAAUAAUAAAGCACCAAAUUCAGUGGAAAAUUUCCCAGACCCUGUUCUGAUUUUGCUGUACCUGGAUUUGCUUGAUUCUGCAAAGAAUGCCAUAAUCAAUUAUCAAUCUGGAAAAAGCUGUCUGACAAAUUUUACAUCUACUGUGAGGUUAAACCAUGGUUUGUAUGAUGGUGUCACUUUAUUACUCAGUCUGAUAGAAUGUGAUAGAUUAGGGAUCACUCGGUCUGAUAGUAGUCACUUUAUUGAUUUGUACUUUUCCAAAUAAUGAAGAUCUGUGCUUGAAAAUGGACUUCCUGAGCUGAAAUAUUAAAACUAAAAUCAAGAAAAAGUGAUUGAGACUUCUGAAAUAAAAUUGAGUCUGCAAAAAAAAAAAAAAAAGGUUCCAGAGAAGGAUGGUGAAAAACCACGUGCAUCCGAAGCCCCCGUAAGUAUAGUAGUAAAUCCAAUCUGGACAAAGCAAGUCUUGGAAGGAACUCUGCAAAUCCUUGGCUGCAGAAUCAAAUUCAGCUGAGGACGAUCAAUUCUUAACUUGGAAUCUUAACACACUGCCGUUAAAGCUGUUAACAAGUUGGAACAUGUUUGCUUGGAACGAGAUGAUCAUGGACAUUCUAAUGACGAAUCUCCAGCUUGAAGCUCCUGGUCUUUCGGUAAAGAUCCAGCAUCUGAAAUGGAUAAGGUGCAAUUUUUAAACAGAGCUCAAACUCCUUCCGCAGGAGCUGAAGACCGGAUGCAAUUGAAAUGAUUUUGUGCUUAUGAAUAAACAGAGGCAAAGGUAUUGUUUUAGGAGCUCUUACAUCAAUCUUACACCAAAAAGUUAUCAUACUCAUGCACUAAUAUUCUUCUUCUACCUUUUGUAAUUUCAAAAGCACUAAUCUAGAGCCAUGAAUAUGCCCAAUAAUCACCGUGAUGAAGUAUUAGUGAGAAUAGGCAUUUAUCCUGCAAAAUCACAGUUCGCUGCCGUUCUGCACUUGACCAGCAGCUGCCCCUCCCUUACUCAACAAUUUGAAUAGUAGCAAUAUCCAAGAACCAACUAGAGCAAACCAUAGCAACUUUUCCCUAUGCCUUGCUCUUAUAUUCUCAGCCUCCUGCAUUCUCACACGUCGCAACAAGCUAGGGAUUAACCAUUUUGAUUGCUCACACAUGGGUUUAUCAUACCAAAGGAAGAAUCCGCAGCCAUUGCCUUCCUAAACCAUUGUCAGAAGCACAAGACAAUCAGAUCUUCAUGGAUGAUUUUUGCUUGCACUCACUAUGUGAACAGAAAAGGAAGGAAAAGAAAAAAUUCAAGUUCAAAGAGUUUUACUCCGUAGUUUUCACAGCAGAAGAACCUUCUUCCUGGGUUUUCAUCUGUCCAAGAAGUCCUAAGCUUGGAAGCUUUGCCACAGUGACACGUCACAGGAACAGUUGUGACCUCUUCACUCUCUUUAACAACAUUCUCUUUGCUUUGAUCAAACUAUGCAACAACAAGUACAUAGUGUCAAUGCAUACAAGAUUUGCACGAUAAAAAGAGACAUGAUCAAUUACAGAUCUCAGUGGAUUACAUUGAGUGGCUUCAAUCAUUAUCACCAAAUUCAAAGAAAUUUAUUCAUUGGAAAGCAUUAUACACACGCGAUAUGAUAAGUGAAAUUCCUAAAUAUGUCACUGUUUACACUGUCUUUGCAACUUUUGGAGGAAAAGGGGGCUGAAACUCCUUCUUUUUUCCCUACUAUAUAAAUAGCUCCCUGAGUUAAGCGUGAUGAUUUUCACAAGUGACUUUAGUAAACUGGUUAGUGAUCAACAUAACACACUUUAGUCAGAAGUACUUGGAACAGAACUCAACUAUCUCAACAUUGAGAGACUAGAAUGAGAUCUUUUUACACAGACUUGGGAGUAUUACAAACAUUUGCCAAACCAAACUCAUCAAGGAUAACAAACUGGUUCAAAAAACAAACGUUACUGAGUCCAAAUAUGUUCAUUCUACUAAUAACGACCCUCAAGUCAAAUUUACAUGUGAGGGUGAUUGAAAACGAGGAAAGAAACAGGAACACUAAUGAACCACAGGAAACUUAGUGCUAAGGUGAAUAUGCAGUUUCCUGGUCAUGUCAACAGCUAGAGUGCUUAAUUUUAUCAGGCCUGCUGUCCCCAAGUUGCCCAGUUAGCCUCACUUCCUACCCUUGGUAUGCUAUUAAUCUUGGAAAGGGCAU